RNAcentral lists this long non-coding RNA (50025 nucleotides) under Fragaria vesca (wild strawberry). RNAcentral's name for it is "long non-coding RNA (FVES_LNC003079)". Lineage: Eukaryota; Viridiplantae; Streptophyta; Magnoliopsida; Rosales; Rosaceae. The record is from RNAcentral.
ACGACAUCAUGGCGGUGGUGCUCGGUGUGAAUUGAGGUCGAAUUUUGUUUGUUCAGUCCAAUGAAUUGGGCUCUAUGUCCAAUUCCCCUAUUUCUACACCUUUGGGUCCGUUCUGAUUUGUUUGGGACAUGGAUGUCAUUGGAUGUCCUUACAUCCCUAGCUUUGGAGGGUAGCUCCCUUAAUCUUAACGUCGUACAAUGUUUGGUUCUUAGGUGACAAUGAGAUUAGGAAAGUCCUCUAAAGUGUUGGGUAAUGUUUGCUGCUAUUUCUUUUGGUUUGGUUUUGAGUUAGUUUGCUCUCGUUUCGACCUUUGUUUUGAACACCUUAUUUUUUGCUUAGGUUUUUCUAGUUUUCACUUUGACAAGUUGAGCCUCGAUUUGUAAGAGCAAGUCCACCUCAAGCUCCAUUGAAGACCCAGGCCUUCAACCACCUCAAAGGAAGACCCAGCCCGAAAGAACUUAUCUCCACCCACAUUUUUUUUUUUGACCCAGGCCUUCAUGGGUUUUCACCUGGGUCAAACAUAUGACCCAGACCUCCAUUUUUGAAGACCCAAGCCUUUGCAAUCCAUGUUAGCACAGCCCACUUGCCCAUGUGAAGGCCUCUUUUUUGUCGUCAUGCAGAUAUGGCCCAUGAGUCCAUGACACAUGUCAUCACAUGUAGGUCAAAUUCAAACAAUCUAAACUAAUGUAGGCUGUUGAUUUCAUAUAAAAAUGGUAAUCGAACAGCUCAUAAUAAUACCAGUCAUUGUAAUUAGAAAACUAGGAUAAUUUAGGAAAUUUUACUUAGCAAAUUUUUCAGAGUUUUAAUUAGGAAUAUGUAGGUGUGUUCUUAAUUAGGAAAUUUUAAAUUACUCUAUUUUACUUAGAAAAAUUAUGAAACAUGGAAAUAUGUUUGUGUGUUUUUAAUUAGGAAAUUUAAAUUGUUGUAUUUGUUUGUGUGUGUUUUAAUAGGAAAUCUUAAAUUAUUAUAUUUUGAUUAGGAAAUUAGGAAUUAAGGAAAUUACGAAUAAAAAAUUUAUAUUUCAGUGUAUCAUAUAGUUUAUUUUAUUAACAACAUAAUAUCAUUAGGGAAAAUAUCCAUUUAGUACUAAUUUAAACCCCUCAUUUCUCAUUCUAAUGACAAUCUUUUUCAUUAGCCCAUUAUAAUAUAAGGUAACAUUUUUUAUGCCCAAAUACAUAAAUAUUUACUAAAGUCUUAUCAAACCAUAUUAUUUUAAGACUAUUUUGCCCUCACCCCUUAAACAUGCAUAGAGAGAGAAAAUGGAAGAGAUAAUACUUGGCCGGAAUCUCACCAGACUCCGGUCACCGGCCACCGGACUCCAGUCACCGGUAGCCGGAUUUCUCUGGUCGCCGGAUUCCGGUCACCAAGACUCGGUUACUGACCCUCAAUAAUCAGUUACUAACCCCCAAUAAUCGAGUACUGACCCCAAUAACUUAGUUACUGACCCCCAAUAACUGGGUUACUGACCCUUAAUAAUCAGUUACUGACCCCCAAUAAUCGGGUACUGACCCUAAUAACUUGGUUACUGACCCCUAAUAAUCAGUUACUGACCCCCAAUAAUCGGGUUACUGACCCCCAAUAAUCAACUUAUUAAGUUACUGACCCUUAAUAAUCGGGUUACUAACCCCCAAUAACUUGGUUACUGACCUUAAUAACUUGGUUACUGACCCCCAAUAAUCAACUUAUUAAGUUACUGACUAUUAAUAAUCGGGUUACUGACCUCUAAUAACUUAGUUACUAACCCUAAAAUAAUCAGCUACUGACCCCUAAUAAUCAACUUAUUUCUCCCAUCGCCGGAUUCCGGUCACUGUAAACUCGGUUACUGACCCACAGUAACUGAGUUACUUUAAUCACCGGCCCCAAGAACUGAGUUACUGACCCUUAAUAACUGGGUAAUGAUUCCAUAAAAGGCUACUGACUCCGGAUAACUCAAUUACUGAUCCUUAGUAAUCGUGUUACUGACGCCCAAUAAUGUGCAACUGACCCCAAUAAUCACGUUAAAAUAUACUUUAUGUUCAAAAAUCACUCUAUUAUGAUUUCUAAACUAAAAAUUUGUAAAACAAAAUAGUGUAUUACAUCAAAUCUUUCUCAUCUCACCUCUUUGUGGACAAAUAAUCCUCUAAAUCCAUUUAACAUCGGCACUAUUUACUCAAUUACUCACACUUAGAUAACAAAGUUAUGCUUAGAGGCUAUCAUACCAAUAAAGGAAGCAAAAAGCCGAAACACAGAACACGUCCUUUUGGCUUGUUGGUGACCGACGAAUGUGAGUUCAGACCGACAAACUUGCUCCGAAUCCUUGUCACCGCAUAUGUGACGUCAACGACCUGCUCCUUAACAUCCAGCUGUCGUCUCAAUCAUCAUCUUGUUCUAAAUCGGUCACUAAAACCCAGCCUCUCGAACUUGAUCUGUACAUGACGUUCUCCGGCAUCAUCGUCGUCUGUCCGGCACCUUUGACUCACGUCGGAGCAUGGGGCUCAGUGCUUUGAGAUGAGGGAGCCGAGGCGGUGUGGGUGGAAUAGAAGAGACCUCAGUCUCAACCUCUCACGGCAGAGAUGGAGGAGAUGGAAAAAUCUCUAAAAGAGGACUAGUCGGAGAUGGAGGAGAUGUGGCGGUUAGGUUAGGUGGUGACGAUGACCGAAGUGAGGGAUCUAGCCUCGCGCCGGUGCUUCGCCGGUGACGUGAUUCACGUCUGAGAGAGAGAGAGAGAGAGAGAGAGAGAGAGAGAGAGAGAGAGAGAGAGUAGUAGUAGUAAGUAAGNNNNNNNNNNNNNNNNNNNNNNNNNNNNNNNNNNNNNNNNNNNNNNNNNNNNNNNNNNNNNNNNNNNNNNNNNNNNNNNNNNNNNNNNNNNNNNNNNNNNNNNNNNNNNNNNNNNNNNNNNNNNNNNNNNNNNNNNNNNNNNNNNNNNNNNNNNNNNNNNNNNNNNNNNNNNNNNNNNNNNNNNNNNNNNNNNNNNNNNNNNNNNNNNNNNNNNNNNNNNNNNNNNNNNNNNNNNNNNNNNNNNNNNNNNNNNNNNNNNNNNNNNNNNNNNNNNNNNNNNNNNNNNNNNNNNNNNNNNNNNNNNNNNNNNNNNNNNNNNNNNNNNNNNNNNNNNNNNNNNNNNNNNNNNNNNNNNNNNNNNNNNNNNNNNNNNNNNNNNNNNNNNNNNNNNNNNNNNNNNNNNNNNNNNNNNNNNNNNNNNNNNNNNNNNNNNNNNNNNNNNNNNNNNNNNNNNNNNNNNNNNNNNNNNNNNNNNNNNNNNNNNNNNNNNNNNNNNNNNNNNNNNNNNNNNNNNNNNNNNNNNNNNNNNNNNNNNNNNNNNNNNNNNNNNNNNNNNNNNNNNNNNNNNNNNNNNNNNNNNNNNNNNNNNNNNNNNNNNNNNNNNNNNNNNNNNNNNNNNNNNNNNNNNNNNGAGAGAGAGAGAGAGAAUUUAGAUAAGUGAAAAGAUAGAGUUAGUUGAAUCUGAGGGUAAGUUCAUUUUUUAUGUAUUUUUAUUGGAAUGGGCUCUUGAAUAAAAUUUUCAUUGGAUAAGGCUUUAGUUUAGUUGUUUUUAUGCAAAUGGGCAUUUUUAUACUUAAAUACCUAAUAUAAAAUUUAAUAAAUAGUCACACAGCCACGUGACGACCCAGAAACCAAAAUCGUGGGUGAAAACUGUCUUUUAAUUUUAUUGUCACGUGAUGACCCAGGUCACACCCAUGACCCAAACAUUCUCAACGAAGACCCAACAUGUGGACUUGCUUUAAUAAACAUUAUAAUCAAAGCAUUCUGGUCAAGUAUGACUGUCAUAUUCCAAAAAGCAAGAUGACUGUCAUAUUCCAAAAAGCUAGAUGAGAGUUCUUCUCUCUCUCUCUACUCGCGGCGACCAACCCUGGAUCUAGGGUUUGGUUCGUCACGAAUUUUGGCCGCCGUUGAGAGUUUCUCAUGUCAUGUAGCAUGUGUGACAUCUUCUUUUAGGCUAUGCGAGCCCUCAGUUCAAUUUGUGGAUUUAGGUUUUUGGUUUUUCUGGCUUUGUCGUUUUCACCAUAAUGGUAGCGAGGGGUUUGGCCAAGUUGGAGUUGGCGUGCGAGUUCAUAACCGGCGGUCCUCCUCUAAUGGCAGCUCCCGAUCUUCGAUACAGAUCUGGGAUUCGGGUUUUGUACCAUCUCCAUUUUUGCGACGGAUGAACCACUGUGACUAGAGGUUAGGUGUGGUUGAUGGCUGUGUUCUGGGGAACACCUGUGACGAUGGAGUACGGGUGGAGGCCGCUUCGAUUGGGGCGGUUCGAAUUGUCAGAUUCGCUUGGGUUGGCGAGUGUCUCCGACUUUUGUGGAUUGGUUUAGGGCUGGUGGUGACUCGAGUUGUCGGCUGCGAGAUCUUUUCGGCAAGGACUAUGUCAGAUCCUGUCGUUCAACAGUGGCGCUCAUCGAGGUAUGUGGAUUUUCCUGGGUUGGCAGCUAUUAAAGUCCGGGCACGGGGGAGAAAUUCUCGGCGACGGUUGAUCGGAAGGAGAAGCUGGUGUGUGAUGGGUGCCUAAAUCACUAUCCGUUGGGCCUGGGCCUGGCUUCUGUUUGGUAUAGGGCUGAUUGGGUGUACUUUCAUGCCUAUACACAUAUGGGCUCGGAUCUAGGAUCGUGGAGGCUGGGUUUGGCCAAUUUGGGCUCUAUUUCAAUUUUGGAUUAGAGGCCUUAAUUCAUUGUUACGGCUUUGGAGAGUUCAAUUGCUAACGUCCGAGUUUCUUACACCCUUGGUUGCCUCUGUUCUCUCGGGGGCCACAUCCAGCUCUCCUAAUAGGGUGUACUUCUCAAGCUAUGGAUAUGAUCCUGGCUACGGUUACAGUUACGGUUACUAUCUUAUUUACACUGCUAUCGUGUCAUAUGUAUUCAAGCGAUGUUGUUCAGCAUCAAGACACAUCUUGGUUACCUCUCAAUAUCGAUGCGUUUGCGUAUCUGAUUAUUUCGAUGUUUUAUUGUUGUUUCGUUUUAGAUGCGUUUGUGCAUCUUGUUAUUUAUUCUUGCUCUAUUUCAAUAUUUUUGCAUCGCUCCAUGUACUCUUUAAUUACUAUUCAUAUAGCUUUUUCGUCCUUGAUUAAAAAAAUAACGAUAAUUUUUUUAAAAAAAAUAACGCAAUAAAGUAUUUCCAUGGACCUGCGUAAAACCUAUUUAAGAUAUAUGAGUAAAUUAGAAUAAAAUGCAUAUAGAAAUAUGGGGUCAUAAGCUCGCUGUGGUUUAGUUUCUUGCUACGGUAAAAGAAGAUAAAAUAUGUAUUGAAAGUUUAUAUUUUGUACAAUUUACAUAGUCAUCAUGUAAUGAAAAUGAUGCAGUCAAGUAUUAAAUCUUAUGUGAGUGUUUGGUAAGUCAUAAUAAUGAAAUACAAAGUUAUAUGUUUCAAUAAUGGCCUUUUAUAAUUUCUAAAUACAUACAACAGUAAAAUUUAUUAGAGAGAUAAUUUAUGUAAUUGUGGCUUUGAUGGUGGGAAUGGACGCCUUGAUAAGGUAAUUGAAUUCAGGCUUUAUGAGAGAGAUGAAGUCAAUUUCCAGUCAGAUCUCUUUUUUUGUUUCGUUUUCGGUCUUUAUGUACAACCAAUCAACCCCUUGUAAUGAAAAACCGAAUUAAUUCAUUUUCCAUACCAUAAUUUCAUGCCAACCAAACGGGGCCAAUAAUGCCCCUUUAUAAUUUUUAAGUAUUUAGAUUUUAGUGGGAUGUUUACCUGUAAAAUUUAUCCAAUAACUUGGGAAGAGAUGAGUUGGUCCCAUUAUAAAUAGCAUGGAGUUGGCACCAAACAUGUACUCAUCUUGUGAAUUGUAAGCAGCUAAACAUGGGCGCAUUGUUUUUGAAACUGGUGUUUUUGUUCAUGUCCGUGACCAUAUUAGAAGCCAAAACACAUGUUCGCAUCAUUAACGAUUUCCCGGACCACUCGGUACUAUCCGUCCACUGUCGAUCUAAGAACAAUGAUCUUGGCUGGCAUUACCUCUCCUACAAUAGCUCCUAUGAAUUUCGUUUUAGGCCCAACUUGUGGGGGACGACUCUAUUUGCCUGUGAGAUGAAGUGGCCUCCUUCAAAUAGUCACGGUGUCGUAAUCUAUCGUUUCAAAAGAGACUAUGACUGUCAUUUUACAGGUGGCACAUGUACGUGGUACAUAAAACCAACUGGUCCGUGUAUGUUUAUGAAAGAUUACCCCAUGAUGUGUUUGGGUUGGGAUCAGCCGCCCAAUUACCGUAUGGAAAUGCAAAAUGGAAAUUGAUCGAGUCACAACAAUGGGUACUAAUAUUUAAUGUUUCUAGCAUUGAUAAAGUUUUGUCAGAUGGUAAUUAUAGCGAUUUGCGAACUGUAUUUUUCGUACCUACGAAUUUUUACUACCCCAAAUGAUACCUCAAUUAUGGUACCUCAAAUAGGAUGCUGAAUCUGGGUGUUCAGAGAUAGUUAUUCGAAUUGAUGAUUGUAUUGGGUAGUAGAAGUUUCUUGUUGCAAUUGAGUAAUUGGGUUUUCAAAACUCGAAUGAGUUAAGAAGCUUAUCGUGAUUAGAGAAUUUUUAUUUGGCAUGGGUUCUCUAAGAACAAGGAGCUUAUGCCUGAAAGGUCCAGACCCUCAGAAUAUUUAUACUUUGGUUCCAAGAAAAAUGUUAGAGCAAGUCCAAGAAAAAUGUUAAAAGUGGAAGAGGGAUAUGAGAAAGGAAUCAUUGACAAGAAAUUUGACCUGCCCUGAUUCGGAGAAUCAAAAUUUGAUUAGGAUAUAGAGCUAAUUUGAUAUAGAGCUGAUUAAUCAUGGUGAACAUGAAAAUAAUGAGCCAAAUUAUGAAUACAAUGACCUUAUAUUUGGGGGAUCAUCGACGACCAUGUAGUAAAGCAUGAGGUUCCUACACUUGAGGAAAGCAUGUAUAUUGACAUGGUAGCUGAAGACAAAGCCGAUGAGAUCGGCUAAAUCAGAACAAAAAAUUCAGAAUUGAUCACCCUUUUGUUGUAGGGGGCUUGCGAAAUCUCCAAUUACAAUAGACCAAGAGCGGAAUGAUCCUACUGAAUUUUCAAGCUCAUUACAUAUCGCGGUCUUGAACAAUUUGAAAUGCAGGUCGUGAUUGUAAAAAGUGUACCUCCUACUAAUCGGUCAUGAUGAUUUUUUAUUUUCUAAGAAAUUGGUCAUGAUGAUUUCGUCCUGUAGUUAUCUAUUUUGGUUGAUUCCGAUUUCAAAAAAAUAAAAGAGUAACGAAAGGUAGCCGUAAUUAAAGUUGUAUGGAAGGAGGUGUUCAUGGCUAAAAUGAUGGAAGUUUGAUUUAUUGUUAGCAAUUCUUGCGCAAACUAGAGAGAUGAGAAAUUUCUCAGACGUGGAACUUAUUAUCUCUUGUAUCCUUUAAUUAAUCUCUGGCCGGUGUCCUAACGGCUGAUGCCGGGAAGGCUGAAAAUGAUCAAAAAUAUAAAGUUGCUGCGUGCAAAAGGUGAAAAAAAAUUAAGGGAUACAGGUUUUUGAGGCAUAUAUGGGUGUGAUCAUGCAGUAGGGUGUUAAGACUAUGUAUGUAUGUAGUUGAAUAUGUACAUGUGUUAUAUGGGCAUCAUCCACAUAUAUCCAAGGGUACUGUUAAUUAUAACAUAUAAGUCUGAAACUCUAUACAAACCUGUUUUUGUUUUCUAUUGUCGAGUGUCAAUUUUCAAAGCCAUAUAUUAGCAAUGAAUUUUGUGAUCUUCAUGUUAUUUAAAUCAUGAGUUCAAUAUUAAAUUUUCCACUGUCUGCAAUGAAAUUCUGUUUCAGUGGUGUCGAGUUCAUGCAAGAACCUACGAUUUAUUCUUAUCUUUGUAAAUCUACAUUGUUUGAAAAACAAUGAUAACAAUUCCUGAGAAGCCAUUAUUCAAGUCAAAGCCCUUAUUUUGGUAAAUUUUGAAUGGACAUCUAUCGACUAUUGCUAAGAAGAAGAGACAGAGAAGAAGAUCCUUAUCAAUGAUAUUGCUAAAGCAGCAGUUUGUAAUACUAUACAUAUAAUUGGUAAUUGCUUAUCGUUUCAGCUCCUUGUUUGUGAGAAUAAUAUGAUAAAUGAAGACGAUCUGUUUCGAGUUGCCUUAGAAAUUGGCUCCGAGGAGCUAAGAACGUUUUAGAAUAAAAUGGGUUCGAUCUUUUCGUAAUAUCUAGGGUCUGUUUUGGAUUUGAUUGACUUGAUUUCAUUUUCCUAAUCAAUCCAAACCGAAGAAUUUGUAGUUCACGUCACUUUUUAAAUUCUAUAUGAUGACGGCCAAAACGACAUAAUUAAUACUUUUUUUUGGAGAUAAAUGAAUAUUUUAUUAAUCAAGGGAACAAAUCCAAAUUACAAACUUGCAAAUACAAGGCCGAUAAACUAAUAACAAGAGCAUAAGUCUUUAACUCGAUCAAUAUAGAAAGAGUGAAAUGACAUCAUCAACUCACUAAACUAUGGACCAAAAACUCUACAUCCGAAAACAUAAAUACAAUAAUACUAACAAAGCUACCACACACCACCCAUGCACGCUAACAUUGCCGUCGCCAGUAGCUGUGAGUAAGUGAGGAGUGCUAAAUAGGAGCAUAAUUAAUACUUACGGGAUACUUAUACUUGAAUAUUUUUCAAUGCAUUACAAUAUACCAUAUAAAUAGUAAGAGAAUAGAUAGUAAAGACCCAUUUAAAAGAACCCGGGCCUAUCCACCCAUUUAUUUAACGCACUGAUAAUUAUCAAGAGGCCAUCAAAUAGCCCACCUAGACAUUUGAAGGAGCCCUACGACGUGCAAACCAGUAGCACAACGAAAUGGAUAAAACUACCCCAAAUAACCAAGCAUCCAUGAUCAAUACCAGAUACCGAAACGCCAAAGGUAUCGCCUGGUAUACAGACCAACCAAAGAGGGGUAGUACGACUAGCGCAUGAAAAGCUGCUAUAGGCCACCUCCCAUGACAAAAAAUUAACCUGGCAAUCAUCAUCGUGGCUAUAAAGAAGGUGGCAGCCAUCCAUCCUUGGAAAACCAGGAACGGAAUUGGGAUGCACUCAUCACACAUAAGUUUAGGCCCAACGGUCUUGCAGGUGCAAUGUGUGAGGUGCUGUUGCGGUGAAAACCAAUUAUCAGUUGGUUUUGAAAUCCAAACGAGCCCCGUCGAUAUAAGGCCUGUAGCUAUUCCGACAUAAUCUCCUGUGCUCAUGGCUCUGGGGUCCUCGCUACAGCGUUUGUGCCUCCGGCUCGAACGACGACGAAUUCGAGUCCUGCAAUAAAAAGAAAAAUCAAAUUUGAAUUUGAAGGUUAGAACAAUAAUUUAACACUUAACUAACGUCUCCUGUAAAUAUAACAAAGUUAUAAAUUUUGGGCGGUUCAUCUAUGAUCAAAACCCAUCAAUCAAAUCUAUAUAGCACAAAACCACAAAUAUAUAUUAAAAGAUUACCAGAAAGAUGGAGGCAAAAUGUGUUUGAGUUCAAGCUCAACCACUGUAGGGCGUUCAAGCUCUGGGGGGCGUUCAAGAACCGGGAGGCGUUCAAGCUCCGGGGGGCGUUCAAGAACCGAGGGGCGUUUAAGCACUUCAGGCACCAUUAAUCCUCUAAACUAAAGCAAUAGAAUAGAUUGACCAACUCUAAAUCUUACUAGUCAGAAAAGAAGAAGCUAACACCAAAAGGAGAGAUAUAUGUAAGGUUAAGGUGAAGAAGAAGAAGAAGAAGAAGAGCAUAAUUCAGUGAAAGCUAUAUAUAGGUAGAAAGGUGAGAUUGGUAGACAAGCGUCGAACCGAAUUUGAAGGCAAUAAGUGAGAUAAAUCUCUGAGUUUCUGAAAUAUUAUUGAAUUGUUGAAUGCCUAAUACAACAUAGAGGGUGUCUUAUAUAGGCUCUAACUCAUGACUAAAUCCUAUUUAGAAUAGAACUAGGAAAUAACAAAACCUAAUGGAACUAGAAAUCCUUAUUGAAUCAUAAAUCAUAAGUCAUAAUCCUAAGAAUAAUAGGAAACUUAAACUUGCUUACGACGUUGAUUUUUAGGUUGUUCCUCAAACUUUUCUACAAGUCGUUCUACAUCAGAGCGAUACUAUUCUUUCAAAAUAAGGUUAAGAUGAAUGUGUAUAUAGAGAAGAAGAGAGUUAUCUAAGGGGAGACUUAUGAUUAGACCUGUAAAUGGACCGGAUCUGGAGCGAAUCGACCUAGAUCCGGAUCCGGAUCCGUAAUAGAAAUUUUAGAUCUGGAUCUGACCCGUUACCCGCCGGAUCUUUGAUAGCUAGAUCCAAAUCCGGAUCCGACGGGUUAACGGAUACCCGACCCGUUAAUCCGAUCCGUUUAUAAUAAUAAAUAUUUUCAAAUUUAAAUAAUAAUUUCUUAAUUUUAUCAUAAAUUUUCAUAAAACAUUAAUGAAAUAUUAUAACAAAAUAAAAGUUUACAUCAAAAGUUGAAUUAUAUAGCCAAAAUACUCUUUAACAAUAAACUAAUAUAUUCAAAAUGUUAUACCUCCAAUGUAUUUAGCAAAGAGCAUAAAAAGAACAUAGACAUCAGUAACCUUCAACUUCAUAAAAUGAUAAUACUUUAGACGCAAUUUAGACAUUUAGGUUAUCUAAAUAAUUAUUAUAUUAUUUUAUAUUUUAUCAAUAAUAUUAUAUUUAUAAAAAUAUUAUUUAAUUAUUUUAAAACGGAUCCGGGUCCUUAACGGAUCGGAUCAACCUCGAUCCGUAUCCGAUCCGUUUAACAAACGGGUUAACGGAUCCGGGUCCUUAACGGAUCAACGAGUCUAAUUUUCGAUCCAAACCCGUUUAAAAAUCACGGAUCCGGAGCGGGUCUGGAUCAAGAUCCGGUCCAUUUACAAGUCUACUUAUGAUUGAGAAAAAUGAUGAGUAUUAGUCAGUAUUGCAUGUGGAGGAUUAAUUAGUCGGUCGACCUCAAAGCUAGUGCCCUAGCUGCUCUCUAUAUAGAGAUGAUGAUAUUGCUCAGUUAAACUACCCCACAUCUCUGCCCUUUUGCUGAUAAGGAAAUAAAUUACGUGCAAAGUGCCAAUAUAUAUAGUUUCACAUAAUUAGUACUGUUACAACUAGCAGAUUUGAAUUUAUAGCCACAUUGAGCCUCAAACACAAAUUGAUGAUCCAAAAACUAAACAUAUAUAUGAUUAAUAAUCAUUCAAGAAUCUAGUGAAAACUUUCAUCCAAGAUAUUGAGUUGCAGGCAUGGAGUAUCGGAUGAUGGUGAAGCAUCUAGUGAUGAUGUUAGGAGAAAAAGAACGAUAUUCAAUAAACUUAUUGAGUUUUUAUUGCUGGUUCAGAGCUUGAUCGAUAGGGUUUCCGAGAGCCUGAGGAAGGGUUUCGAUUUGGAGAGCAUAGAGAAGGAAGGAGAAGGAGAAGGAGAAGAGAGAUGGUUAACAGCUAAAGCAGGAAAGCAGAAAAAUGAGGGAAAAAGCCACAUCAGAACCGUAUCAUGGAUAACAGCUGUCAUACAGCUCAUUGGUCCACUGGAUUCGUCAACAUUACUAAACGACCUUGUUUUCAUAUUCAACUUUAGGGGUGAUCAAGUUUAUUCUAUUUCUAUGUUGUUUCUCCUAUUUUCUAUUCUUAUUACUGUUGGCACAGUAAAAUUCAAAAAACUGCACCUGAAUUGAUUAAGAAAUGAAACCCAGCAAAGGAAACUAAGAUAUGAAAGUAAACCAGACCCAGAUUCUUCCCUCUCUCUCUGAUAGAUAAAUGAAAAAAGAAAACAACAACAAAAAAAAAUAAAAAUCAAAUAAACAUAUACCACCCAACAUGAUUUGCUGCACCUAAAAUCUCUUUCACUCGAUCAAAACAUGCUCAAACCCGAAAAACUGUUAUCUCUUUCACUAUACAUACGACACAACCCAUAACAAAAAGAAAGGGAAAUUAUAUAUACAGGAGUUUUCGAACUAAAGCAAUGGAAUAGAUUGACCAACUCUAAAUCUUACUAAUCAAAAAAGAAGAAAAUAGCACCAAAAGAUUUCUAGGCGCGCGUUACUCUAACUAGCUAUCUGCCCUCUUUCUAUUAAGGAAAAGACUUAAUGUCACCAAUUAGAUGGAAAUGAGUUUAACUUAUAAGAUAUUAACUUCCACUAAUCAAUUGAUUGACCUAAAAUCGUACUAAACUACGAGAGAUGAUGAGGGAUUAGUGCAUGUUGAGACGUCGUUUAUAAUUGAGAGAUGUAUAUUUCGUGAUCGUCGACAUAUAUGGAUGGUUUGGACUUUGCACGUAUAUAUGGCCUAAAUUAAUUUAAGGGCUAGCCACCGAAUAUUUUGAAUCUUUGAGAACGAGAAAGAUCGAGUGCAACAUCGAUUACCCAAGUCAUGUAUUUUUCUCCACCCACUCAUUACUGUAGCUAGCUUGUCCACCUUAAAUAAUUCAAUCAACCCCCCUAAUGUCUUUCAUCAAAAAAAAUAAAAAAAUAAAAAAACUCCUAAGAGCAACUCCAACCAUGAGUCAAAUCCACGGUGAAGCUCCAACAGCAAUAAUUGACAACUUUCACCCAACUCCAACAAAGAUGUCAAUUUCACAUGGAUGACAAUUUUGAUUCAUCAUGUCAAAUUUGACCCAGGCUGAGCAUGUAGUCAUUUCUUUUUUUUACGAUUUCUCUCUCUUAUCUCCUCUUUCAUUCUCGUCGAUCUCUCUUUCUUUCUUUCAAAAAAACCCAAAUCAGACUUGCUGAUCUGCAAUUUAGAUAUAGAAAAACCAAUAGCAUCAAUACCUAAAGCAUCAGAUUGUUAUUUGAAGAUCAAGAAGAGGGAAAGCAGAUCAGGUUCGAGGGAAGAAGAGGAUUGCUGAUAAAAUGAUCAAAUUGCAGUCAGUGAAUGAGGAGGUAAUUAAUUCCAAAUUGCUUGAUCAAACAUACCUACACCCGGUAAAAAGAUUCGGUCUUUGUUCUCGAGCUUCUUGGCUACCUUAUCUAUGGAGGAUCAAAGACUUGCAGUUGCAGGAUAAAAGAUAAACUGGAAACUGAAAGAAAUAGGAUGUUGUGAUCGGAAAAGAAGAAAAGAAAAGUGUGAGAGGAGGAGAUAAGGAUAGAGUUAGUGGGGGUGUUUUAAUAAAACUAUUUAUCAAACUUUUGACCGGUUGGUUGGAGAGAAAAUUUUGUAGAAGGUUAAAUUCCAUGUCAGCAGUCAAAUUUGAAAUUUGACAAAAAAAUUUAACCUCCUCAUUAGAGAUGCUCUAAUGUCACACUUGGCAGCCUAGGGACUCCCCAUGUAUGGAUAUGAUGCUUUUGUUUGUGAGAACCAUCAAUAUAUAGUUGUUAAAUUCCAUGUUUUGGCUGAUAUAUAGAAUGUUAGAUUUUCCAAGCAAAUGUUUGCGUUGCUCUCUACCCAAAAAGAUGGUAUAAACUAAGAAUAGUUUGCACCAGUUAGUUGUGAAAGUGGUUCUGGUGAAAACUUCAUUCGUGAAAGAGGUUGAAACCUUAAGUGAGAAAUUUGCAAAUAAAGACCGGACAGAAAAGGUGGGAAAUUUUAGGUUUUAAAUGUUCUAGGUAGUUUCUUAUUUAUGAAAUCACUUGCUUUUCCUUUCUAUAUGAAUCAUAGAUAUUACAAUUUUUAGUAUUUAACAAAAAAACUUCAAUGGUAUGUUCAUGAAGAACGCUUUAGAAAGACCAUCUUUUCAAUACAGUUACUAAUUAUGCAUACCGUUGAAGAACGCUUAAGAAAGACCAUCUGGAAUUUCAAAAAGACUCGACAGCAAGUUGCUGAGAUUUACUUUUGAUCAAACUAGGAGACAGACUCGUACUUUCUUUCAAGAUCUCCAUAUAUGCUGAUGGAGCCUGAUGCGAAACAUAUUACUCAAAACCCAGGCUGCAUACUGCAUCAAGUAAACAUCAAUGCCCGCAACUGAGGGAUGAUGCCAUGGGUUACAAAACAAGAGCUCAUAAUGGAUUUACAAAAUUAUGUUCUCCUUAGAACCAAAGUUGAGCAUCUUCCGCUAUACACCUACUUGCUUAACAGAUUUUGCUUCAGGAUGGAUACUUCUAGCUUUCACUGACUUCUUCCGGAUCAGUUUCUGAAGAUGGGUUUUUGUGCUCCAAAGUCUGGCUGUUUUCAUGUCCCUCUGAGUUUUCAUCCUCAGAGUCUUGGAUCACAACAGAGUCAAGGGCAGAGUUGCAGACAGGUCUUUGUCUCAACCUAUUCUUAGCACCAGAGUUCCUGUUUUCCACAACUUGACGAUUAGUGCCUCCAGCUAGUCUUGAACUCCACCGCACACCACAAGCUGGCCAUUUUUGGGACAUGUCAUCAGUCUGAGCAUUGUUCUUCACUUGCUUAGAACUGCGUUUGUCACUGAGAUCACCAUCUUCUUCUUCUUCUUCAUUGUCCUCAUCCUUGGUGCCAUCAUCCCAAUUGUUAUCAUCCUCGUCAUCACCAGCAUCUCCAAGCAUGUCACUUUCAGUGUUACUAGAGUGGUAACCAGAAUCCCCAUCAUCAUUCUUACCAGAAUCCUUAUUAUCACUGUUUGCGGAGUGACUUUCUUUAUCUGAAUAUUCUGAGUUGGUGUCUCUUUCUGGGGCAUCAUUGUUAGCUGUGUCAUUCCUUCUACUCUUCCUUUCUUGCACUUUCUCUUCAGUAGUUUUCCUCUUACUGAACAAAAGGUAAAACUAAUCGGUCAGAAAAAUUGAGCACAGGAAAAGAACAGACGAUGUCAUGUAUAACUAAUUCUGGAGCCAUGAGCUGACAAUAAAGAAAUUUACGAAGAGAAUAAAAUGCAGCAUAGAUUACGAAAAAGUAACAUAUGUAGAGGGUAGAUAAAUCUGAAAAUAACUUUUUAUUAUUUCAACUUUUGCAAUUGAUGCAGGUCUGUAGAUUCCCUUUUAAUAGAGCAACAAAAGUGUUCCCUACCACCCAUAAGGGGAAGAGUAUGUGCUUCUCUACUUUGUGGAUGUGAUUAUGGUGCACCAAUGAAAAGGAUUAUAACAAUACUUCGUACAGAAGCCAUGAAGCAACAAAGAUCAUUUCUUCGACUGCAAAGAUACAGUCAGAUAUCUUACUUUGUGACUUUUAUAGCCUCAUGAAUUACCCGGUCAUAAUCAUCUGCAUAUUAUCCACAAGAGCAGACAUUAGAAUGUAAGGAUAUAAAACAAGAAAUUUAGGAAGUCACCAUAGUGAUACCAGUAUGCAACCACAACAAAAUAAGGAAUCAUUCCUCUUUUUAAUCCAAUUUUUCAAAGUUUGUACUGAAAUAUCCCUAAUAUCCCAGGCAUCAUAUUGAAGGAUGUUAGUUAAGGUAGAAUAUGAUCCAAUUACUACUUUCCACAUCAAUUGCAACUUACUAUGUAAUGACUAUGGGGCAUUCAUUAGAGUUAUAUUCUACAACUUCUGACCAUAACCUUCUCAGAUGGGCACCGUUUCAUUUUAUCAUACUGCAACAAUGACUUAGGGUUCACAAGGAGAUUGCUUAAAUUUAGCUAUGACUCACCAAACAAAAUUUGCACCCUUACCAAAUGUGUAGUUGACAGUCCUACGGUUGCGACAGGAACGUGUAAUUCCAGCACCAUAAAAGUUUGUUAAAAGAUUCUGCUGCCUCUCUUGACUUAGUUUCUUUUUCAGUUCCCUUUCUUUCUUCUGCAGCACACAUCAUUUUUUGCAUGAAUACCAAAGAAUACAAGAAUAAGACUGAAUAAAGUUCACUGGUAAAUUGCUACUGAACCACUAAUGAUUAAGCAUUCUUAAAAUGAAUAGCCACAAAAAGAUAGCAAAACAUUACCUUCUGAAGUUUCUCAAGAGCAGGAAUAGCAUCAGUUUCAAUACUCUUAGCGGCAUCACGUUCUCCUGCAACUUUGCUUGAUGAGAGUUCAUCCUGUCAUUACAGCAAGGAAUAGUUAAUGAUGGAUUUCAGUCCUGGAAUAAACAAAAUGUUUGACUUACUAUAACUUUCUGAAAUUCAUCGAGGUUGGUUGCUACUGUUUCCCACUGGAAACUGAUAUUUGGUAGGUUCAAACCCCCUUUCCCCUUAACAUUUUUCUUCGACUCGAUGACAGUUACUUCCUUGUAUAAUCUAUGACCAAUUAUUGUAUUUCCAUCAUACCUGACAAAGAUAUUGUAAGUGAUAUAAAAACCAAUUUUUAUAUUGGACACAUGAAAUUCACCAUGACAUAUCAAAGGAUUACCAAUAAGAAGUUCCCUUUUCGUCUCCUCCUAUCUUAUCCUUGCGGAAUGAAGAAAUUUCAGUUCCUUCUUUCAGGGCAUCAUUAAUAUAAGCCACUGCAUCAUCUUGCUGGAUACAAAAAGAAUGAGUAGAUUAUUUCACACAACCAGAAAUUGAAGGGGAAAACAAAACAGACACCUGUAUAUGUAUUGACAUGUUCAGGCACAACGACAAUUGCUAACAUAAAGCUAGGAUGUUUGGUAGUCACAAAGCAUGUACACCACAUGAUUAAGAAACACAAAAAUGACAAAGGAGUAACUACAUCGGCUCGGAGUUCACAGAGUGCUUUUAACAUAAGUAGACGCUCUGUCGGAUCAAGUCCUUUAUAGCGUGAUAUUUCCUCUCUGCAGGAAAAAAAAAAAAACUGUCUUUACUUAAUAUCACAUUUUGAAUCUAAUAAUGUAUAGUCAAUCUAGCUUGUUUCCAUACCCUUUAGCUACCACAAGUGGAAUCUUCCCCUCAGCAACCUGCAGUAAUGAAAAAGAUAUUCAGCUGCAGGUUAUACACGUACUAACACAAAAUUCCUACUGUCUACCAGAUUUUCUUUACUAACUGGCUAAUCAUCAGGAAAAAAUGAGAAAAAACUGAGCUGAAUAAACCUCAUGUAUUUAUGUUAUGGACAGACUAAACAAAUUUUCCAAACAAAUUCAGCAAGUCUUGCAUUUUUCAUUGAAAAAGGACUCACCCAUGGCCACCACGUUACAAGUUUCUUACAAAGAACAGUCACCCAUGCAUCAGAACCAUCCAGUGUUUUACUCGCUGGUGGUGUUCCCUGAAAAAACCACAGGUCAUAGAAAUGAAAUGAAGAUGACCAUAUGUGUAAAAAGAAUGAAAAUAGACACAGAUGACCCAGACACGAUGAGAUGCACCACUCAUGGUGUGGUUUUCUUGUUACAGAUUACUCAAAUUUAUUGUUUAAAAAUAUUAACCAGCAUUUCCAAAAAAAUAAUAAUAAUUCAUAUUUAUUUUGCUGAAUCAACCUGCCUUUUGCAGUUUGCCAAAAUACAGCAUGAGAAAUCCAUUCUUAUCAUAUCAAGGUUUAGUAGAAAGCUUCAACAUCCAAUGGUAACUAAAUAUCAAUAAAGGAAAAUCAUAGCAAGUGCUAAGAGCCCUCAGUCCAGGUAAAUCCAUGUUUCACAUUAGAACCCAUCAAACCAAGCCAACUAUGGCAGUAGCAUAGCCAUAUAUAUGGCAUCUCACAAGCCACAACAGAAAAGUGAAUAUAAUAUCAUAUACUAUUAAAAGUAUGUACAACAGAUAACCAAACAUAUGAUUAAUAUGGCUUAAACAAGUGUAAACAAUCUAAGGACAUCAGUUAUAUGAUGACUGCAUUUACGAAGUAAAUAGUCUAUCAUAAAUGCAGUCAUUACAUGAUAAAGAAAAGGUAGCAAAUACACGUGUGAUCUAAGGCUUUUGGGUAAUCAAAGAUCUGAUACCAUGAGUCCAUGAUCACACAAUCAGAUCAUGACAGUGACACCAAACAGAAAAUUUUUCAUAUAUCCAAUGAAUUCAUCACAAAUUUCAGAUUUUCUAGUCAACAACAAUUAGGUCGACUUCUUGAAUUAUAUACUUCAAAAUCUGAUUUGUGAACCAGAAUAUCGGCAAUACUUGAGGAAUCUAACAGAAUAAGACCAAUGAGAUAACAAUCAAGAUAUAUCCAGAGUCAGUUUCAGCAAUUUGAUGCAUAACCACUGUUUAAAAUUUUAAACAAGUGCAAAUUCUCUAAAGUUGAAGUAUUCAUAUUCACUAAAGAGAAAACUCACAAGUACAAAUUCAUCAAAGGUGAAGGGAUAGAAGGUCCCAGACCGUAUGUGGUCCAGAAAAGAUUCUUAAAACCAGACCUAGAUAAUAUAUGGGGCAAAGGGAAAAGGGAGAGAACUGAUAUCUAGAGAUGCUUCUCAAAAUUGUCAUACUAGGAGAAAAAAAUACUCUUUCUACCAGACACGGCAUAAAAAUGUGUUCAUAAUCUUUUAAAGAUAAAGACUCAAUUCAUCAAGGCCAUAGGAAGAAUUUGACAUCAUGCGAUGCAUCAAACUGGACGAAAUGAGUUCACGUUUGAUGCUCUUGUGCUACAGAACCAUUAUGCUCCCUUCCUAGUAAUAAAAGCUAGACUCCAACUGAGUCUUCACUCUCCACCAAAACAAACUAUCCGUUCAACCACGCUAUUCCAGAAAAAGGAUCAUAUAAGAUAACCAAAUGUGGGCAAACGUAACCCAUAACGACUAGUUGGAAACAAGAACAUGAAAGAGCUCAACUAGUAUACUCCUGCUUCGUUUAAGUUUCAGUAAACAACAUUACCAGGCUGAACAUUUGUGGUAAAACAAUCAGGCUACCAGUUAAAUCAUAUAACUACCACAAGGACCGAACAUGGUUUAGUUCAAAUCCAUCAAAGGCACAAUAUACUCUUUACAGCAUAAAUUUUUACGUUCAAGCACAACCCAGAUGAACCUUUGGUCACACAUUGCUAAACAAAAGAGGAAUAAAGGUAGCAUUUCGAACCCAAUUUCAUACCAAACAGUAAAAACAAGUUGAUUGAGUAGAGACAAAACAAGACCUUCAAAAGGGCAAUGUGAAGCUGAGCAAGUGAAUCGUUUGGGGUUACCAAACCCAUCUCGAUCUCUUCCGCCGAUGCUUUAGUCCCAAUCACUGGCUCAAACACCUAAACACAAAAAAUCAAAAACUCAUAACUACAAAAACCAAUCGAAUCUCACUCCGAAACCCCGAAAGAUAGGACCUUUCACCGUUAAAAAGUUGAAGACGGAGGCUAGCUCCCACCGCUUACGGAGCUUCGCAAUCUCAUCAUCCUGAUCGUCCAUCUUUACGUCUUCCUCCGCCGGCCGCUUUUCUUUUCCGGAGAGGACCUCCGUCGCCGGCUGUGCCACGCGGCCGGACCGCCGAACCCCGGCCAUCUGGAGAUGCUUACACAGAGAGAGAGAGAGAGAGAGAGAGAGAGGGGAGGAGAAGGGGCUUGAGAUUUUGGGAGGGAGAGGUGAUUUUCCCGCCUAAAUGUUUUAUUUUACCCACAGCUUGUGGUGAAGGUUAUAUUUCUAGGUUAUUUUCAAGGUCAGUCUUUUGGAUUCUCAGACUCUCUUUCUCUUUCUAUCAGACUCGAAACGCACCGUUUUUGGCAGUUUCAGAUCUCACUAGGAUUAUGCACCUUCCUACAAGCUUAAUUGGCUGCUUUUGGGAGUAGCAGGUUUAUUUGUGUUUAAGUUCCUUUUUUAUUUUGUUUGUGAAGAAAGGCGUGUGGAUGGAAGAACAUUGCUCUUAUGUUACAUUGGUCGUAGCAAGUCUUUUAACUUGAGCAUUACUUUGAAGAAGCUCGUCCCUAAAUCACAUUUCAUGAACUUAGGUUCCCCCAAUGCCAUACAUGUUCAUACUCCCUUACAUUGUUUGUUGUGAUUUUUGUGUUUUAGAAAGGUAACAACUUUAUAUAAUAUGAUCCAAACUUACAAACUUAAAUGGUUACGUAUGAAAAAUGUUUAAUUUCAAUCACAGAGCUAACUAUAGACUUAGACAAUUAGUACCAAGCUUCCCCUUAUAUACUACAUCAGAGAGGUGGCUGGACCAUUGGCGCCAAUGCAUAGUAUAUCUCAUCCAAGCAGUUACAGCACGAAUUGAAGCAGACGGGAUAUCCUUCAUCUUGGCUGCAAGCCCGGUGACAUUCACGUAAGCAGAGAUGUGCCUUUGCGAUAACACUGCUAUGUAGUUUUUUGUGUCCCACCUGCAUUGACAACUAUCUAAGACCAGGAAGUGGUUUGUAAACGAAGCGAAACAUAUUGAACAAUGAUCGAGACCUUAAAAACCCCAUAACAAGAUCAUUGAGAAUCAAUUAUAUAAUUUGCAAGGACCUGAACAAAUCAAACCUAAGAAAGGUUAAUAACUAUACACUCCUUCAGCUUUACACAGUUCAAAGUAGAGGUUACAGUUACACUUGCAGACCAUAUUAAUUAGACACACAAGGGCAACAAAGAAAGAGCAGCACGCAAGAAUGAAGAAUUGGGGUCUGGUUUUCUUUGCUCUUCUGCUUCUUCAAACCAAAGGCGUGUCCAAUUUAUAUAUCCUGAAUAGAAUCACCUAGUAUGCUAGUGGGUUCAGUGCCUACUGGUUAAUGUACGUCACAGUUAAGACGAGUAAAAUUUCAGGGUUGUUAUUUCUUAACAUGAUCCGAUUGCAAAACCAAAAGCAUAACAUGAAAAUCUCAAGUACUAGAGUCAUUUAAAAGUAACUUACAUAGCUGAAUUCACAUCCAAAGUCUUUUGUGCAUGUGUAAUUAAUGAGUCCACCUCUGCAGGACGUUCCCACACCAGCAGCAGAGUUGCCAGGGGAACUGGAAGUCAGGAAGAAGACCCCCCGACAUAGAAAGAUGACGAUUAUGACGAACGCAAUGAACAUUAUUACAUCAGUCUCUGACAGACUUGGACGAUCUUGAGCUGCUGGCAUUUUCUUCUUUGAUUUUGUUUUUCGAUUAAAUCUUUCAAGGGAGGAGGUUGGUGAUAGAAGAAGCAGAGAGUUUGUUUGGUCUGAGAGAAGAAGAGAGUUUAGCCAAGGUUGAAGGUCUCUGUUAAAAUGGGAUGUUCAACUAAAGGAUUCAUGAUUUAUUCUAAUCUUUUCGUUUUUAUAGAAUGAAGAUAAGACGUGUUUGGUAGGAGAAUCCAAAUUAAUCAAGCUAGGAAUCUAGGAAUUGCAGACUAGGUUCCAAACUUCUCUCUACCCUAUUAAAUGUUGUUCAUUUUUAGAGUGUUCUUUGUAGCUACCAUUUUGUUCAAGUAGCCAGAGAGGGAAAUAACCAAGCGUCACACAUCUUGUUGAUAUUGAUUGGGUUCGAGUGUUUGACAAGAUAAUUUGACUUGUGCUGAUCAGGUACUGAUUUGUGUGUAUUGCUUGUUUUACAUAUCGUAUUUUCAAAAAUAAAAGCCUUACUUUUAUAUUUAAGAAGCUCAUUAUGCUUAGUAUUCAGGGAGAGGAAGUUGAUGGAGAAAGCAUAUGAAAUCAUUGCAUAUCAAAGAAGUGGUGAUUGCAUAUGAAAUGCAUUCAUGUCUAAUUGUCCUGAAUGAAUAAUAGCAGAAGGAAUUAGAGAUGGAUAGUAAUGGCUGGGGAGGCAUCCUUCCUGCUGUAUUCAGAAAUCACAGAAAGCUUGCCUUGUCAAGUCCAAUGGCAAACUAUGUUCAUGGCCAUAAGCCAUAAUUUCAGAAUCAAAAAGAGGGAGAGGCUUCUCUAUUUCUGAAGCACAUUUUGUGUCUUCGAAUCUGACUCAAAUCGGAAAAUGAAUCCCUGAAGAACACCACUCGAUUGAUCAUAUCAUCAAGUCACCCCAAUCAAUCGAGAUUGCACAGUCACACGAAACAAGAAGCAACUCAAAUUUCACCAAUUAGACUCAUAAUCUCAAACUAGUCCAUUACAGCUCUAAUAGAAAUCAAGUCGCACAAGAAAACUAACCCAACAGGGUUUAGGGUUUUAGCCAGUGAUCAUAGUCCCAGCUCCUUCAUCAGUCAAAACCUCAAGCAACAGAGAAUGUGGUUUCCGGCCAUCAAUAAUACUAGCAGUCCUCACUCCCUGAGCCAAUGACCUGACGCAGCAGCUCACUUUCGGAAUCAUCCCUCCUCCGAUUUUCCCAUCCUCCAUCAUCUUCUUCACUCCUUUAAUAUCAAUCUCCUUCACCAAGCUACUCGCAUCCUCUCGGUCCUCCAAGAUUCCGGCCACGUCAGUCAGCAGAAUCAGCUUCUCCGCCCCCAGCGCCGCCGAGAUUUCUCCGGCCACCGUGUCCGCAUUGAUGUUGUACUGCUGCCCGGACUCAUCCGACGCCACGGAAGCGAUCACCGGAAUGUGGCCGUCGUCAACGAUCGACCGGAGAAUCGUCGGGUCCACACGCGCCACCUCCCCGACGAACCCUAAUUUCGUGGCGUUCGGGGCGGGGCGGGCGGUGAUGAGCCCGCCGUCGGAGCCGCAGAGCCCGAUCGCCUUCACGCCUUCCCGGUUGAUCAGCGAGACCAGAUUCUUGUUGACCUUCCCGGCGAGGACCAUGGAGACGAUCUCCAUCGUCGCGGCGUCGGUGACGCGCAGGCCGUCGUGGAAGUUGACCUCGAUGUUGAGGCGCUUGAGCCAAAGGUUGAUCUCCGGGCCGCCGCCGUGGACGAGAAUCGGGCGGAGGCCGACGCAGGCGAGGAGGACGAGGUCUCUGACGACGGUGGCCUGGAGGCUCGCGUCCUUCAUGGCGGCGCCGCCGUAUUUCACCACGAUGGUUUUGCCCCGAAAUUUCCGGAUGAAAGGUAGGGACUCGGAGAGAAUGUCGACCCGGAGCUGACCCGGAGUGGGCAGGGUCGGGUCCGGGGCGUGUUGGGCUUUGAUUGGAAGAGAGUGCGGCGGUUUGGGGCGGAAGGUGAGGCGGGUGUUGGGGAGGAGAAGAUUGCGGCGGGUUUUAAGGGAAGGGAAUGAGAGAGAUGGAGGAGAAGGGUUUAGUAGGGUUUCGGAAGCGCCCAACAUUUUGAGAGAGAGGAAAACUGGGAUUCGGGUCGGGCGUGGAUGACGAAGAUGAUGGAGAUGGUUGUGGCGGCUUUGCUGGGUUUAUAAACCAGAGAGAAGUGUUUCUUACCCGAAUUGAAGAAAGUGAGACAGUAAAAUUUAUAUUUACUGUGGGUACUGGUACCUCAAAGUGUGAUUUAUAAUGAAACUAGAAUUAUACCCGCGCCUUGGCGCGGUGUAUACAUUUACGGUGUGUUUGGACGUGGGUGAAUUUCCGAGAAUUUAAUAAAAAAUAAGGAAUUCUCAAUUUCUUAGGACGGUUUUUCUCGUUUGGAUACUUAUCUCAUGGAAUUAGCAAUUUUCACAGAAAAAUAAUCGUGAAAUUUGGGAGCUUAAAUUUUCGACUUGAAUUCCUUACAAAAUAAGCAUCAUUUGUCAAUUUCUUUAACUAAGAUUAGUCUGAAUACAAAUUCUUGUCAUUUUAAAACUCUACAUCAUGAAAUCCAAACAAUGAAAUUCUCAAUUAAUAGGAUUUAAAUUCAUGGAAUUGUAUUUUGAAAUUUCUAUGGACACAUCAUGAAAUUCAAACAAUGGAAUUCUCAAUUAAUAGGAUUUAAAUUCAUGACAUUGUAAUUCCCAUGAUUUUAAAAUUUCUAUGGACAUUAAAAUUACUUUAUCCAAAAACAACGUUAUGAAGCUGGUCAAUGGGUUAAUUGAUUGAUAUAAAUCUUUCUGAUAUGUACUUCAAAGAAUUUUAUACAUGUAAAUUAUACUCAGCUGUUAUACUGAUUAUAUAUCUAGAGUUAAUGACAAUAUUGUGGUUUCUUAAAAAUAACAGGGGCAAAAUGGUCAGUAUAUCCGCUCCUUAGCACGGUGUAGUAUCUACAUUAUGUAUAUUCCACAUAUGUAUAAGAGUUAUCACAAAAACAACUUUUAUAUAACAAAAUAUCUAGUCUUGUAUUCUACCCAAAAUAUAAAUGCUCCAAUUGUUUUUAUUUGUAAGAUUUAGGAGACAGAAGAAAAGUUUAAAUUACAUGUCUAGAAAAUCUAAAUUACCUAUCUAGUCUUGUAUCCUAUCUAGAAAAAUCUAAAUUACCUGUUUCAGAAAAAAUAAAAAAUAAAGAAUUCACUGUUGUUAAUGAACAGGGUAAAAACACUGUUCAUAGGCUGAAUACAAAUUCUAAAAUUCCCGAUUUGAAUUCCUCAUAAAAUAAGCGUCAUUUAUCGAUUCCCUUAACUAAGAUUAGUCUGAGUACAAAUUUUUGUCAUUUUAAAACUCUAUAUCAUGAAAUCCAAACAAUGAAAUUCUUAAUUAAUAGGAUUUAAAUUCAUGAAAUAGUAAUUCUUAUAAUUUUAAAAUUUCUAUGGACAUUAAAAUUACUUGAUCCAAAAACAACGUUAUGAAGCUGGUCAAUGGUUAAUUGAUUGAUAGAAAUGUUUCUGAUAUGUACUUCAUAGAAUAUUAUACAUACAAAUUAUACCCAGCUAUUAUACUGAUUAUAUAUCUAGGGUUAAUGAAAAUAUUGUGGUUUCUUAAAAAUAACAGGGGCAAAAUUCUUGGUGCGGUGUAGUUUCCACGUUAUGCAUAUUCCACUUAUGUAUAAGAGCUAUUACAAAAACAACUUUUAUACAACAAAACAUCUAGUAUUGUAUUUUACCCAAAAUAUAAAUGUUCUAAUUAUUUUGAUUUGUAAGAUUUAGGAUGCAGAAGAAAAGUAAAAAAUGGAAGGCAAAAAAAUCUUUGCUAAGAGAAAGCUUAUCUAAAAAAAAUCUAAAUUACCUGUUUUCAAAGAAAAAAAAAUCACUGUUCAUAUGCCUAUGAUAUGAACAGUCGACCAAGCUUUAAUAAUAGAUAAAUAACGGCGGGUGUGGGAAAAAACCAAUCUAACAAGGUUUUGUGGCUCUGAUACGAUGUUUGAAACUUCGAAUAGAUACCGACCAAUUAAAACUCUAUCCGGCCGCUUGAGAUAAAUCAAUUAAUCUCAUGUGUUGUACGUUUUUCAUGAAAAAAACCAAUCAAGCUAGCGACCACGACCACCGGACCACGAGUACGUAUGGAGUCCUUCUGCUAUGGACCAUCGAUCUGCUUCACCGGAAAGUGAACCUUACGGCAGACAAAAGAACCAGACAGAUCUAGACUCGAGACCACUGGUCUUUCAAUCUGUUACACAUGAUUGGUAUUAAGGUAAAAAUGCCAUUUUGGCAGUUAUGCAAAGAGAAUGAACGAAUGAACUAAAAGCCAAGGAAGUCUGAUGCAUCAAACAACUGCAUAUAUAUAAAAACGAUGGAUCGAAAUUAAAAGCGAACGAAGAAAUUGAGAGGAAAUGUUUCCAAAUAUUAUAAUUUCCUGCUUGCAUGCAUGAAUGUACCAGGGAAUCUAACUGGUGACCACUGACAAGCAAGAUCGGAGAGAUGCAGGUUUAAUAGAACCCGGCCCCUUGUGCAUAAUGCAAAGUUUAGGCAAGAAAGUAAAGUGCGCAUAUAUAAUGCAAACCCUAGUUAAGAUUAUUUAGUGCAGUUAGGCAAGUGCUCAUGCUUAGGAGGGAUUGCUUUAAGCACCGGAUUGCUCUCGAAGAAAUUGGUUGGCCGGAGCUCAAAUCCACCGCUUAAUGUUGGCAUCACCGGAAAGUCUUCUUGGCAAGGAACAUGGUGAAAUCCCAUGGUGUACCAUAACACUAUGUCCUUAUUCUCAAUCUCUCGGUUCCUGCACAUGAUCAUAUAUUGUUUAAGGAGACUAAUUAAAUAGCUAAUACAGAAAAAUUAAGUUGCAAAUUUAAGUUUCCCCUCCGGAAAUGUUAAUAUUGUGACUGAUAAAAUAGCUAAUUAACUACCUGAGGCUCCAAGUAGCCAAAGUGUCAUCUCCACGGCUCUGAUCCAUGAACUGACCUCCUGCCCAUUUUUCCGACUUGUUAUAAGGUGUGACCCAUACAUUGUAGUUGGUGAAGGCACCUCGGAUUUGUGGGUAAUCGUCAUGGGACAAAAGUGGGUUUGAUACUGAUCCUGGGAUUAGCCGAUACCCUAUGUUGUUUCCAGGUUUUGUUUUCUUGUUAGGGUUUAUCAAGACUAGGUCAGCUGGCUUCAAACCCAGUUGAAUUUUUGCAUCUGAUUCUGUCUUCGCUGUUUCGCUAACAACUGUCCAGUAACUCUUUCUCGGUGAGCUAUGAUCUGUUACUCUUUUUGUCACCAGAUUGUUCUUGACAAAGGAGUUGGCUUCGCCAUCCACAUCGAGAUCAAGAUAGUAGGUUAAAAAGUGAUCAUGGUAUACCCCGAGGGUGUAAUCUGCAAGCAAUGUACCAUAAGCAUCCUCCUUUAUUUGAUCAGUAUGUGUGUAUGGCGCCCCCUUCACCUCUAGUAUUCCUGUUAGUCCAACCUGUUGAGAGAGAGAAGAAACUGUCUUGUUAAAUGAAAUUAUGAAUCAAGGGACUGGAUAUAACAGUUCAUCAUAUGAACGUACCCCAAACUUGAUCGAACCGCUUGGCUUAAAUUCCCAGUCAAGUACAUAAUCAUAGUUCCCCACAGUCGAAACCAUCCUCACUAUCAAGUUCACCUCUGGUCUAACCUCGGUUAUCUACGUACAUUAAAACCAUAUUAAGCUCUCGUAUAAGAUAUCACAAAUUUGUUUAGAUCAAAACUGAAAAUGAAUUUUCUUACUCCUGGAAUUACUGUUUCAGUGUGCCGCCACAAGGCACUCCCAGCAUGUUGCUCAAAUAUGCAAAAAGCAUUUGUUAUAUUCACCGGAGUCCCAUCUGAGUUAGCAUAGUGAGCGUCCAUGAAUACAGCAUUUUCAGGGCAAUCGGUCAAGGGCUCUAGGGGCGAAGCAGAUUGACCAAACCCAAAUUCACCGGCGUCGAAGAAGGUCUUGUAGUACCAUUCUUCAGUUGGGUCCAUGUAUGGCACAAAUAGCUCGGAUAUGAAUGAUCUGUACAAUACUUGACGGUAUGUUGCCUUUUCGACGUCAAAAAUCGAUGCAGUAGAAAUUACCGGACCAGCUCGAACAUCGAAUCCGAGAUGGAAGACCCAGUUAGCCCAACUGAAUUAUUCAGAAAACACAAUUAAGCAGGCUCUCCUAACUCAGUCGGGAAUACACUAUUUGCCACCACAUUUUUAAAAACUUAGGCCAUACAGACACCCGCUAAUAGGGAGUUUCAUAUUUUACUUGAUCAUUAAGCAGCAAAUAUCAUAUAUAAAAAUGGGAAAGAUGUGAUUAAUUAGGUACGGUCUAAGAUGCAUGACCUAUCAGCUACCACCUUCUUGGCCUCUUGGGUGUGCAUGGUGGCUUUAGUAUACAUAGCUAACGUACAUACGUUAAACAGAAAACUAGCUUAGACUUGGCAACAUCAAGAUUCGUUUAGAUUCAACAUCUCUUUUCUCUCUUUUUUUGGAUGGACAUCUCGACAACUAGGACAAAAUAGGCACGUCGACAUUUUGGACCGGGUCGAUGCAUACUCUCAACUCAAAAUUAUAACUUACCAUUCUCUAGUGAUAAUCUACUAUUCUACUUGUCUUAUUUGUUUGAAGGUAUGCAUGUUUUUGAAUGUUUUCUCCCAUAUGUGAGAAAUGAUACCUUAUUGUGUGCCCGUCAAUCUUAAACCCAGGUCCGUCUGGCUGCACAAUGGCGAAACCAUUAAAUCUGGGACCGAAAGGUGGCUUCUGCUUCGACAGCCGAUACUCGGUUCCUUGAGCUUUCGGCACCGGAACCCUAUCCCGGUCAUAAUACUCAGCUAUCUUUAGUUCAUCAAGAUCAACCACCAGUGAUAUUCCCUCCAAGGGCCUCAUGUACAAGUUAGGUGUUCCCUCAAUAUAGUAACACAAAACUUUGAUCACUCUUUUCUUAUGUUCUUCGCCAAACCACCCGACUGAAAACGUGGUGCAAACCACCUCGGACAAGUUAUGCCCCCUCUUCUUCACCGAGUUGAUAAAUGGUUUGUAGGACAGUGGGAGCUCACUUGCGACUGUUUGUUCAUCAAAUGUUAGCAAAGGGUAGCCGUGUCCACCGUAGACCUUAUCGGAGACUACGGAACGAGUUGAUAAGUCCACUACCAUCUCGUGGGAGUGUUUGUCGAGCCUUGUUAUGACAAAGGCUCGGCGAGGUAGGGUUUUGGGUUUUGGUUUUGGUUUCGACAGCCAUGACUUGACUAGGGAUUUGUCUGGCUCGUCUAAGGCUAUGUACUGGAAAGUGAGGUUGUGGAUGGAGCUGGGGUAAGAUUUUCUGACGAUAGUUCGGACCCGAGUGAACUCAGACUGGGUUAGAGGGUCUAGUGGGUGGUACCGGCCGAGGCAUGGGAUUGGUGAGAAGGUGAAGAAGGAAGAGAGAAAGAAGAAGAGCAUCAAAGUUGAAGAAGCCAUGCCAGCUUCUCCGUGCAUGUUGAAGAAGAAAAUGUUAUAGUUUUGUUCAUAAAUAAGCUAAUAUAUAAUUCUGGUGCAGUUAAGUAAUUACUACGUCGGAGCUUUAUUUAAAAUCGAAUAAUAGUCAACAACUACUUCUAAGUACUAAACUGUGCAUGCCGAAACUUCUUAAUUUUCAAUGAACUUGAACUUUGAACCGGAAAAAAUAACUUGCUGCAAUUACAGUCUUUAGAAAACUGUAAGUCUAUAUAUAAUUAAUCAAACUUUACUGUAGGAUCCGUAUGAUUUGGGUCUUCGAAUAUGGUAACAUGCCUUUUAAUUUACAUGUGCACUUUGCUCAAAAAUUCAUCUUGAUCAUGUUCAUUUAUCAACUGUUUGUUACAAUUUCGAAGUACAUACUAGGUAAAAGUAGAACAUAACCUUAUCUUAGUCUACGAGUCAUAAAAUUUUCUAACUAUUAGUUUAGCUUGCUCUCAUAUGCUAGCUGUCAACUUAUUGAGAAAUUGUCAAGGUCGUACGAGAUUGUGACACUGAAGCUAAUGCUUUUGUAUUAUCUCCCAAGUUUUCUUCAUUGAAAAGUUUGAACAUAAUUAGCAAACUGAUAAGGAUUCAUAGUUAGUCUUCCCACUCUUCCCAUGAGUCUCUGUCCAGAGAGAUUAACAGAAUAGAUUUACUAAACAUUUAACAAUCAUGUCGUCAGUCUUUUCUUAAUCACACUGGGAUUAAAGCAUUAUAUUAGCCAAUAAUCACAAAUAGGCAGUGAGAAUAGAAUAGAACAGUCAAGAAUGUCCUCUUCUUUUGUUGCUCUUAUUUUUUGACUUCUUUGAUAUAUGAACUCUACUUUGCCUGGGUUUCUUUCUAAUUUCAUUAUCAUGCGUCUUGGUCUAGAUAGGGAUUGUCACAACACUAUCAACUUAACCAGAAAUCUCAAUACAAGAACUUCUCAUAAGGCGGCUUUUGCUGCAGUUUCAAACACGACAUUUGCAACUCCAUAUCAAAGAGCAAUGACAUGUCUAACUUGUCUUCCUUGAUGCUUUGAAAUGUAAAACACUUAUGAAAAUGAAGGAGUUUUGAUUAUCUUACUAACAGUCAACAAUCCACACUAUGAUAAUCACAUCAGACCCAAAACAAAUAUUUGGUUUGGUUAGUAGCUUCGUUUCAGCAGCACGGCAGCACAUCACCAAAAUUAACCAAUUUCGCCGAUGUUACUACUACCAGAUUCCAAAACAAACUCUCCAUUUGGGGGUGGGGGGUACAAUAACCAUCAUCCACCAUCUACACAGUAGCCAGCCUAAAAGUAUAUCACAAAACACAAAUUAAAAAUUAAAAAAUAAAUAAAUAAAGAGGGGGGGAAUUGGGCGCACAAGUGACGGUUAGACUUGAUAAAAUUGUUGUCAUCAGUUCAAGUUUCCUAAAGAAUGUUCAUCACCUUAACAAGCUCUGAAAUUAUGUUCCUCGAAGAUACUCCAAUUGCUUUGUAUUCGCCAGUAAUAUCUGUCAUAAGACUCAUUAAGCAGUGGUCAUCCACAUGACAACAGAUAACUUUUCAUUUGAAAAAAACAAUAAGUAAAAAAUAAAAAAUAAGAAGUAAGAAGUAAAAAGCGCUUAUAUUACUUCUCUAAUGUAAUCUGCAACUGCCUUGCACCCUUCUAUUGCAAGUUGCUUUACAUUUUCAAAAGUAUCCAAGGACAACUUAGCAUCCAUCUGCAUUGAAUAAUAUCACAAAUGAGCGGUUUACAGCAGAAGGCACUGAUUGAUAUGCCCAAGGUUAACUAAAACAGUUAUCGUAACUUAAAAUUGAGAAGAGACGAUUAGAUCACAGAUUUUGAUUUUAAGAACCUGAAGAAAGAGUCGCUUUGUCCAACUUCGGCAUAAUUCCUAAAGUGACAUCAGCACCUCCAGCACUAUCUUCUAUAUAGUUUAAAUCUGUCAAGCCAAUAAAAGUAAGGUCUUAAUAAUUUGUACUUUUGUAGUACCGGUAUGAAGGCAUUAUAGGGAACCCAACAAAAUGUAUUAUAUGUAAAAUAGAAAUUUAAGUGAAUAUUUACCGAGUAGAGGUGUGUUAUUAAGGUACCCAGCACUGCAGGAAGUGACAAGAUCUCUCAUUGGAAUUCCAGCAUCUGCAAGGGCCAGGGUUGCAGCAUUGAUACAUGCAGAUCUAGUUCUUGCAACAACAUAAAAUGCGGAAGCAUUGAGUAGAUAAUUAAACUCACAAAUAGAUCUUCUUAUUCUUAAUUGAACCGGUGAGGCAGCCUAGUAUCAAAAUUAAAAGUGAUACACAGAAGUGCUUUGGGAACAGUCCCACUUGAAUACAAUGAAAAAAAUAAAAAAACAAUAGCAAACAGUCAACUCACAGCAUACUUGGACCCUUAAUGAGAAUGGCCUUAAACAGAAGUACCACAAUGCAAACUAGUUGACAACAUGCAAUGAAUUAAGAAGGCCUCUUUUUCUCAACAAAUAAGCCUGAAUCUACUAUAUAUUGGAUAACAGAGGAUCAAGCAUGAGUUGGUGCAAACACAGAAAAAAAAAAAAAAAAAAAGGAAAGCAGCCUUGACAUUACAUAAUCUGAAAGUACAGUUUAUCAACAGGACUUAGGACCGCAUAGAGGCAUUGAUAUUUACCUCCAUCUGCUUGGAGAAUUUGCACAACAAUGUCUAUCUGCAAAAAACAUAUACAAGGUACAAGACUUUAGACAAGAAAAACUACAAACUCAAGCAGGAAAAAUUCCCAAUAUAAUACAACUGAAGCUGAGACAAACCUGAGACCGAGGCAUUAAGUUUGUCAAAAUGCAUUCUUCCAUGGUUUGGCGAAUAACUAGAGAUAUCUCAGUGGAUCUCCUGAGAGCAUCAAGGACAGACAUAUUGGUCAUCAACAUUAGUCGAGUAAAGGAUACAAAACCGUCAUGCUAAACUUAAAUACAAGAUGAUCUCAAGCACAUAUGCCUGGAGACUCAAAAGGGAUAGAACAUAUAACCUAUCACCCUUCGGUUUUCUCAUCCGAUCUCCGGUACUGAAAUUUGCCAUGGCGUAUUCACAUCUCACCUAUAUAUAUCAACAAUUACAGAGAGCCGGUAUACUUAGAGAGAUAAUAAAUGCCUCUUAAGUUAACAUCUUAAGCAUCACAGACAUAAGUUUAGUUUAGUUUAGCUUAAUAGACAGGACAAAUUAUAUUACCAAUGCAUUGGCAUUCAGUUGUUGGCUCCUAUUUUGGACCUGAAAAACAAAGUAAAAAUUAGCAAUAGCUUGAAUGGAUAUACAUCUAAAAUGUGAUGAGAUUUUUGAAUAGAUAAUGAGUGUGCAUGUUAGCUAUAACUUUAGCUCGUAACUGAACAGCAUUAGAAACCCACAAGAAAAAGUGACUGACCUCUCUGGGGCCAUAUACAGCAGCAAUAACUUUGGUGUUACCCAUUUCGAACAUAGCAGAACUGAAAUUUGAUAUGCAAGAUAAAUUAGUACCAACAUAAAAAGAAGUUACAAAAACAGGAAGAAAGGUUUAGUGUUAGCACCCGUCGGCUUUUUUUGGAUACAACACCAGCUCGAAUGUGCCUCACCUGAGAUCAAAUUAAAAAGAAAAUUAACCAACUCAUCACAGAAAAAAUUCAACACAAAAGAAAAUCAGAGAAUAGACGAAUACUUCCAUGGGACGGCGACCAACUAAGCGAAAACCUUCAGGGCUUACGAACUCCAUCUGUUGCAAUAUCAUAACAAUUAAAUUACAAAACUCUUACUAACAAGGGAUAAUAGUCAUAAUACUAGAAAAUACAAUCAUCAUCUAACAUUUUAACAUCAGAGAACCAAACUGCAAGAACAUCGCAGUUUACUAUUAGUUUCUGGCAACUACUUGCAUUACUUCAUCUUUAACCAAAGUUUCUGACUUUAUGCAAAGUUCACUCUCAAACAAAUCUCUGUUUCUUAAAAACGAAAUAUGCCGGUAAAGAAACAUACCCAAUAACUCAUUCCAAUAUUUCAAACCCACAAAUUCCCAAUUCUUAUCUCAAUCGAAAUUCGGAAACAAACCAGUAACCCAUUCAACAAUCUAAGACUCAAAAUUAAACACAGAACCGAAUAACAAUACGAUUGUCAAUGAACAAAUAGAUAAAGAAACAGUACUGAUUCAGGACAAUAAUGGCACCUUAUUACGGGCGGUGAGUUCGGGCAGUACGGUGGUGGCUGAUUGUAGCUGCGUCGGUUGAGUAGAACCGUGCGGAGGAGAACAGGGAGACUUUGGAGGGUUUAAGGACUAAGGAGAGCCUGGGUACAGUUUAAACUUUCUCAGUGUGAUACGUGGAUUUUGGCUAAAUCCUUUUAUUUUUCGUUUUUCUUCGUUCACUCAAAAUUAUAUCUCCUAUCUCCUAUUCCCAACAAAAAAAAAAAAAAAACCCAAAAAACCAAAUUAAUCCAUGUUUAGAUCUCCUAAUUUCCUUCUUCUUCUUUUUAAUUUUUUAAUCAUUUUUGAAACAACAUAUAAGCACAUUCUUCGAGCGCAUUUCAUGUCAGUGAUGUAUUAAAAGUUUUUUUGGCUUCGGAUAGAUUCUUAUAUUUGCUACCUUUUGCGAAUAUAUGGUGCAUGUCUCUCGGUGACCCCAUUUCCUUUCCCAACCCAUGCGAUCAGCGGAAGGACAUCGUAGUAGUGCAUGUGCCUCUCGCAUUGUAUGUGCCUUGUGGUGCGAAUCUUGUGACAAUUCCUAGGUCGUUGUUUGACCUCUCGGAUACGGAACAUUCGGUACAAGUAACCCAACACUUAUUGAGUAAUCUCAAACAUUAAUAUAUGUAAUCAAUAUUUUUUUAAUACUAAUAAAAGUGUAAUUUGAUAUUAUCUAACCGUCUAUUUUGGUUGCUGCAAGUGCCCCUUGAUGCACUGAAUACUCACAAAAUAUAUAUUCGAUAAGAAAAAGAUGCCCGAUCGGAAGUCAUACUUUGCCAUCAGAUCCACAUGAGGUACCACCGAUGGUGAUAAACAUGUUAACUCCGCUUUUUAGCUAAAUUUCUACCCUAGGUUCCACUUUGGCAUCAAUUUGUUACCCUGGAUUUCAUUUUAGACAAUUUGAUACCCUAGAUUUUCGUAAUUAGCCAAUUCGCUAUUUGAAGUAUUAUGUCUGCCAACUACCCUAUGUAUUCAAAACUAAGGUGAAAAUCCAAUUUGCUACCCUAAAUAUAUAUGUUUCAAAUUGUUCAUUUCUUCAUCCAAACAUUAAUAAUUUUGAAAAUCUAAGGUGAACUAUGGUCAAUCUUGAAAUUUUGAUAAGUAAAUUGUCAAAAUUGAUUCAUCUUGAAAGUGUAAAUUAAGUAUAUCAAAUUUGAUGGAGGGAUAGCAAACUCGCUAAAAUAUAAUCUUAGGUAGCAAAUUGGCUAAUUUAGAAAACCUAUGGUAACAAAUUGGCAGUAAUAAUACUUAGGGUAGCGAAUUGGCUAAUUUAGAAAACCUACGGUAACAAAUUGGCUGAAAUAAAACCUACGGUAGCAAAUUGACAUCAAGAUGAAACCUAGCUAGGGUUGUAAUUUGGAAAUUAUGCCUAAUUUAUAUGUCAAAGCCAAAAAUAUGUCAUUCAUAAAAGAGGUAAUUCUGGGAGGUCGUUCAUUCUAGGAGUGACUUCCAAACAUAUAUAGUUCUGUUUUGUUCAAUAUAUGUGUCACUCAUAUGCUAAAUAGCUUAACACUUCCGAAAACUGUCCAAACUAACAACAAUCAAAUUUGAACUUUACCCAAAGCAUUGGUGAAGCAGAGCGGAUUCAGUGCACCAUGGUGUUUUGAACCACUCAUGUGGGUCCUAUAUGUUCUAGCAUAUAUUCUCAAAAUAUAUAUUAGAUACAAAAAAGAUAUUCGAUUGGAAGUCAUACUUUGCCAUCAGCUCCACAUGAGGUACCACCGAUGACGAUAAACAUGUUAACUCCGCUUUUUAGCCAAAUUGCGACUAUAGGUUACACCUUGGUAUCAAUUUACUACCCUAGGUUUCAUUUCAGCCAAUUUGCUACCAUAGGUUUUCGUAAUUAUCCAAUUCGCUACCUUAAGUAUUUUUUGUGCCAAUUUGUUACCUACGUAUUCAAAAGUAGCCAAUUUGCUACCUCUUUGUCAUUUCAAAUUGUCCAUUUCUUCAUCCAAACAUUAAUAAUUUUGAAAAUCUAAAUGAUCAAUCUUGAAAUUUUGAUAAGUAAAUUGCCCAAAUCGGUUUAUCUUGAAAGUGUAAAGUAUAGCAAAUUUGAUGGAAGGAUAGUAAACUGGCUAAAAUAAAACCUUAGGUGGCAAUUGGCUAAUUUAGAAAACCUAUGGUAACAAAUUGGCUUAAAUAAAACCUACAGUAGCAAACUGACACCAAGAUGAAACCUAGGGUAGUAAUUUAGCAAUUAUGCCUAAUUUAUAUGUCAAAGCCAAAAAUAUGUCAAUCGUAAAAAAGAGAAUUUUGGGACGUCGUUCAUUUUGGGAGUGACUUCCAAACUUAUAUAGUUAUGUUUUUUUCAAUAUUUGUGUCACUCCUAUGCUAAACAGCUUAGCACUUCCGAAAAUUGUCCAAAUUAACAACAAUCAAAAUUGAACUUUGCCCAAGCAUUGGUGAAGCGGAGCGAAUUCAGUGCACCAUAGUGUUUUGAACCACUCAUGUGGGUCCCAUAUGUACUAACAUAUACUCUCAAAAUAUAUAUUAGAUAAGAAAAAGAUGCCCGAUUGGAAGUCAUACUUAGCCAUCAAAUCCACACGAGGUACCACCGAUGGCGAUAAACAUGUUAACUCCGCUUUUUAGCCAAAUUGCGACCCCAAGUUACACCUUGAUAUCAAUUUGAUACCCUAGGUUUUCGUAAUUAGCUGCUUCGCUACCCUAAUUAUUAUUUCUGCUAAUUUGCUAUAUAUGUAUUCAAAACUAGCCAAUUUGCUACCUUUUUGUGAUUUCAAAUUGUCCAUUUCUUCAUGCAAACAUUAAUAGUUUUGAAAAUCUAAGGUGAACUAUGGUCAGUCUUGAAAUUUUGAUAAGUAAAUUACCAAAAUUGGUUCAUCUUGAAAGUGCAAAAUUGGUUCAUUUUGGUUGUUGCAAGUGCCUCUUGAUGCACUGAAUACUCACAAAAUACAUAUUCGAUACGAAAAAGAUGCCCGAUCGGAAGUCGUACUUUGCCAUCAGAUCCACAUGAGGUACCACUGAUGGCGAUAAACAUGUUAACUCCGCUUUUUAGCUAAACUAGGUCCUUUUGUUUGCCUUCCAAAGUUUGUGCCUCUGGCAGUCGAGGCUUUGCCGUGGUUUUGGUACUUACCGGCAUUACCAAACUUGAGAGGGACAACCUGCUUGAUAUAUGUCAUUCCAGGGAAGUGCCUAUUCUCUUUUGUAAGUGAUUUUAGCUGUGGGAACCAGUACGCCACAUACUCGCCUUCAGGAUCAUAAUUCUGUGCCUGAAGAGGUAUAAGAGCAUUUCUUAGGUACUUAAAGCGUUCAGGAGUGAAUAAAAGAAGCAAUGUAGUAGUUUACUUGUUUCGGAAUGCUGAAGUAACGAUCUUCCCUGGGGUCAUUUCCAACUCCUAAGCAGGAUAAAAUACAGGAGAAUGAUGAUUAGUUUUAUCAGCUCUAGUUUACAAGAAGGGGUGUGAAGGAACUAAUCCAGGCAGGUUUAAGGGAAACAAUCUUGUGAAUAUUGGUAUAUGAACCAAUGAACUUAGAAUCACCUGCUCCAUAGGUCCAAUUACCAUAAUUGGAACAAGGGUCAUAAUCCAAAAGCAUGUCUCAAACCAUUCAGCUCCCAUGCGCCAGUCAAUACCCAUAUCUCAAACCAGAAACGAACAUACAAUCUGUACAACAAUAGAUGAACUAUUAGUCAUCAACUCAUCAUCAAGACUAAUCCAACAUUGGCUGGACAUCAUAAUUGAGACUGAAAUAAGAUGUUGUGAUGUACUAUGCAGAAAUCUACCAUACUGACAACGUUACUUAGAAUUACCUGUCUUCCAUGAUUUGACAUGAACCCAGUUGUUGACAGCUCUUUCAUGUUUGCAUCUAUGAGUGGAUACCUAGAGGUUCAACAAGCUCUAUGUAUCAUUGUCAAUGGAAGGGCAAUUACAACAGCCUAGUAGACAUUGCUUCUUUUUUUGUUUUGUUUCUAUUAUUAUCAGAUCAUGGACACACAAAUAUGAAUAUCUACAUCGUGGAGGAAACAAUGUACCCUGUCUGACCAUCUCUCCAGGACUCAAACAAAGUCUUUUCCUGGCUCCAUCUAUGCUCCAAAUUUCUUGGGCCACCUUUAGCCAAGUACAGAUGAAUAAAGAAAAGGGACGAAAGAACGAGAUGAGAGCCAAUAAAGAAAACUUUACACCCUAUUGCGCCACCUGACAAGACAAAAGAUGAUAUUCUGCUUUUCUUUAAGCUAGCUUUAUGAUUCUGAAAAUGAACAAUGAUAUUCAGAUAUCUCUCAAUUAGCGCUUUUCUCGUGAAAAUGCUAAGGAAGAAUAUGAUGUGUCUGAUAUUAUGCUCGUUUCUCCUUAAUAUCAGUUACGUUGGAAGUCUGUGAAGGAGAUCAACCUUUUAUGAGCUUUGCAUCCAGCAAUAUUUUUAAGAAUCAGGGUGUAAUAUUUAAUGCUACACCAGAUUGAAUCGUUCCCGCAUAGAGAUAAAGGCUGGAAUUUAAUGGGUGGGGAUCUGGCCUAUUACAUGUUCAGGCUGAUUACCCAUGCAAAAUCAUGGUGCAGAAGUUGCUGGUUUGGUAGCAUUUUCUUCUUUUGAUUUUGGCUGUGGAUAGGGUUAAUGUUAACAAGGAGAAGCAAGCAACCUGAGAAGAAAGAAGGAAUUGCUUCCUUCAAGCUUUUCUGCGAUGCCAAUUGGCUGUGUUUGAGUUGAAAUCACUUCGUGACUAUUCCUCUUUUGUUUGUAUUAGUUUGAUUUCAAUCAAUUUGGUGCUGCCAAAGAGUUGAAGAGAAAAUUCUGUGGAAGUACUAAGUCACCAUAUGUAUAAUUCACAAGUUGAGCUAUAUACAAGAUUUUUUUUGAACAGGAAGCUAUAUACAAGAUUAGAACUAGUUUAUUAUGAUUGCAGAACUUGCAGUUUUAGAGCUUUCCCAAAUAACAAGUUGAGCUAUAUUCUUGUGAUUUAUAUCUUUGUUUUCGAAUAAAUUUACUCCUUAAAAUACUGAGCAAGAACAAAACGUGGGCUGCUCUAAUCAAUCUGUCUAGACCCAGAAUUUACCUACCUCUUUAUUCUGUCUUUACAUAUAUGAUACCCAAAUGCAUGCAUGAAACUGAUGAAAGAAAAAGCUACCUUGUAUACAAUUAGAGAUUUUAAUUACAAUAAGACAGAGAGUACCUUUGAUUUUCUGAUUGAUAGUAUAUUAGUUUAUCCAAAUAAGAACAUGUCAAAGGAUAACACAUGUAAAAGACCAAGACAUUUGCCAACCAAAUCAGAAUGGUGAGCAGUAAAUAGUGACCAAGCCAAACCUUAAGGUCUACUUUACACAAAGUGCAUGCCCUAUAAAUAGAUUGAGGUUAACCCUACUCUUCAUCACCUUCAAUCCUUCUCAUUUCUUGAACUCAAUUUGCAGUACUUGCUGGUUUAAUUUAGUUGCUUUGAGUACAAGUUAUUACACAAACAAAUCAUUGGUUUUUGUUAUUGAGUUAACCUUCAAAGCCAAUGAUGAAGUCCUUUAGCUACAAUGCAAAUGUUGCCUCAGUUGCACUGCUGUUGCUGCUUGCCCUGAUGAGCACAACAAGCUCAGCUCAUCUCUCCUCGACAUUUUAUAACAAAGCCUGUCCAAAUGCUCUCGCUACCAUUAGAAAAUCCAUAAGAACAGCAGUGUCAGCCGAACGUCGCAUGGCAGCCUCCCUAGUCCGCCUGCAUUUCCAUGACUGCUUUGUUCAGGUACAAAUAUAUAACUAUAACCAACCAAGUGAUGCUGUUCAUUUUGAGCUAUAACUUAUGGUGCAGUACUCAUGCAUGUACGUUUGCAGGGUUGUGAUGCAUCAAUCUUACUCGACGAUACUGCUACAAUCAUAGGCGAAAAGAAUGCACUGCCUAAUCUGAACUCUGUGAGAGGAUAUGAAGUCAUUGAUGAUGCCAAGGCUGCAGUGGAGAAACUAUGUCCUGGUGUUGUUUCUUGUGCAGAUAUCGUUGCCGUGGCUGCUAGGGAUGCUUCAGUUGCUGUGAGUACUUAUAUUCCUUUCAUUUUCCAUUUUUCAUAUUGUUUUCUCAUCAAAUUCUAGCUUUCUCAUUUUGAGUUUUGGAACUGAUAAUGUGUAUAAAUAUAGGUUGGAGGUCCAAGCUGGGCGGUGAAGCUUGGAAGAAGGGAUUCGACCACAGCAAGCAAAACUCUAGCUGAAAGCUCUCUUCCCAGUUUCUUAGACAACCUCGAAAGCCUUACCAACAGAUUCGCUGGUUUAGGCCUCAAUGUCAGAGACUUGGUUGCACUCUCGGGUGCACAUUCAAUUGGACAAGCUCAGUGCUUCACAUUCCGUGACAGAAUCUACAACAAAACCAGUGACAUUGAUGCAAACUUUGCUAGUACUCGCAAAAGUAGUUGUCCAGCAGAAGCUAAUGUUGGUAAUGCAAAUUUGGCAGCACUAGAUUUGGUGACACCAAAUCAGUUAGACAACAACUACUACAAGAACUUGAUCCAGAAGAAGGGUCUUCUUGCGUCCGAUCAAGUUCUCUAUAGUGGAGGAUCUACUGACAGCAUUGUCUCAGAGUAUAGCUCAAAACCUGCAAAGUUCAUUGCUGAUUUUGCGACCGCCAUGAUCAAGAUGGGAAACAUUAACCCUCUCACUGGCUCAAAUGGGCAGAUAAGAAGGAUUUGUAGUGCUCUCAACUACUAAACUCUGAGCCUCCACAAUCCGAAGUGUCAACAGCAAAGCAACAAAAUAUAGCGAAUGUCUUGUUCUACUGAUUCGUUCAUAUGUGAACUUAUACUGUACUUUAUACAAUAAAUCGAUGCAAUACUAGGAGGAAGACAAUGAAAAUAAGUUCUUCCUAGAUCUUGCAUGAAGAGAUAUUUAUAUUUAUAGAAGACAAUAAAAUUGUACUUUAUGUGUACAUUUCACACAUUUCACAUUGAAAUAUCAGUUCUUAUGAAAUGAUGGAGUUCCAAUUUCAAAUUUCAAUACAAAGUAGUCCUAAGGUUCUAGUAGCAGUGUACAUACUACUGGUCUUUGCCAAACACUGGAAUUUUGUACGCUACACAAUCAAGCUCUCUAUUUCUAUGUCACCUCAAAGCAACUUUGCAACCACUACACCUGCAUUUCCAGGCCAGAAUUCCCAAAGCAUUCAUGGCGGACUGAUAAAGCCUCUCACGUCUAACCCUGUUCCUUCUGCUUGUUUCAUAUCUCACAGAAGCUUCACCAACUCAUCAACUCGACCAUUCUAGGAGAAAACCCCAGCCGCCGUAUCCAAAACACAAUGCCAUGAAUCCUAUUGUGAUUUUUUGGUCUCCCUCUUUGGUUAGAAUAAAAGUAUAAUGAUGUCAUUGUUCUUUGAUAUAUCAAAUCCAGGUACCUGGGGAUGGUACUGGCAGAUGAUCUGGAUUCUGGACAAAGCAGUAAAAAGGAUCACAUAUCCAAAUCUGACCUCGUCUGUUUAUAGAUUCCGAUGCCUAUAAGCCAUGAGUUGAAUUAGACUGAUUUUGAGCAUCUUACAAACUUCCCAGAUGGUACAUUCUUACUUGAUUCCGAGGCCUACGCAGAUGGUACAUUCUUAAAGUGUGCUAUUCAAGUAUUUAUAGACUAACUAGAUGGAGUUUUAGUGCACAAGGUAUAUGAUGUGUUUCAGGCUCCAGUUUAAGUGAAACCUAUGCUAUGAAUCAUGGGGUUUUGGAUUCAGUUGGAUGCCAUAUCAUGGAAUUAGGGCAUACCAUGUAUGGUUCUAAGCAAAGCUUGUCCAAAGUACCUGCUGAUACAAGAUACUAUGAAAAUAAAUCAUCAAGGAAGUUAGCAGUGUUUUGGCUAUUGCUUGUUCAUAUUAGACACCUGAAGUUGCAUCUAUGAAACAAAAACCAUAUAUAUGGAAAGGAAAUAUCAAUAGGACCUCGUGCAUACUGCUUGUUCCAAUUAUGAGUUGAACGAGUUGGACAUAUCAAACAACUGAAUAACCAUUUAUAAGUACUAGAAAAUCCCAACAUUAUAUGCUAAACACGAAACUGCUACUUGCUUGCUAAGCUGACCAAGGAAAUCAAGGAGCUAGCCUGAGCGGAUCACGCGGGAAUAAGGAUGUCUUGCGGAUGUUGUUCAACCCACAGAAGAGCAUCACCACACGCUCCAGCCCUACUCCAAAUCCACCAUGGGGAGGUGCACCAUAUCUGUAAAAAACCAUCCACAGAUUUGUUAAUCUUCUGGGAUGAAAAUAACAUGUCUGUUGUGCUAUACAAAACUGGCAGCAUCAUUCAACAGAGUUCAAUUAUAAUAAACAAAAAGCAAAUAAGAUGUAGAAGAGUUCUAAGUUCUAGCCCUGAGGACAUUUCAGUGCAGACACAAAAGCUCGCUAGGAAUGGUAAAUUAUUUACAAAAAUUAGUGAUUCAGACAUGGCUACAUCGGGAAGGUGUUGCUAAUGACUAUACCAUUUAAGAUGAAACAUGUAACAACAUAAGAAAAAAGACAAGUACCUGAAGGAAUCAAUGUAUGUUGAUAUUGUCUUGACAUCAAUACCGCGUGCUUCAGCACGUUCAGCCAAGAAGUCCGGCACAUGGACACGUUGCGCUCCGGAUAUAAUCUCCUCACCUAAGGAAUGAAACAAAAUAUAAUCAGAUAUGAUUUAUGUUAAACCAAUUCAGUAAAUAUCGGUUUCAAUAAAAAGCAUGAGACUCGAAUCAACAAGAUAUAGGAAAAGCCUAGGAUGUCAAACGAAGUAGACAACCGCAUUGAUGAUUUACCUCGAAUGAAGACGUCAAAUGAAUUACUGUACUCCUUAUUGUCAUGGCAAGGCAUGGUGUAAAACGGCCUCACAGCCAAUGGAUAUCGAUGAAGGAUGUAGAACUCAGUGUUAUAUCUACGAACAAGUAAAAUCAAGUUCAAUAAUGAUGACUACAAGACUGUAAAGUAAAAUAUAAUAAAUACAAGCAAAAAAACUGAAAAGUUGAAAGGGGCAAAGUUAUAUUACUUUUCCAGAACUAAUUGGCCCAACUUCCUCUCCGCCUCGGUAUUAAGGUCCCCCAUUGGAUCAACUUCAACACCAGCAUCCUACACAAACAAGUCAAACUUAAAAUAAUAUUUAAAGAAGUAAUAACAAAUUCGUUAACUGAAGCAGAUGAUGUAUGUUUAACCAUGACCACUACGCCAUAACCAAUUAACCAUACAAAUAACAAUCACAAUACAACCAACAAUCAAGAAUUAUCAAGUCGCUGUCCUCUAUCUUAUCCAAUUUCUAAGGACUGAUGACACAUAAAGAAUCAUGUCACCCAUAAGGCAGUUCUAUAGAAGUCUACAACCAUCUCUAAAGUUUUUCUAUGCAAGUCGGUCAGAAAACGGAAACAAGAAGAAAUAACAAACAAUAAGAGAGAGAGAGAGAGAGAGAGANNNNNNNNNNNNNNNNNNNNGAGAGAGAGAGAGGGAGUAACCUUUAGCAUUUGAACACCUUCCGCAAAAGUAAGACGUAGAGUCUCAGGUAGAUACUGCAAAUUUAGAAAAGGUAGAGAAUCAGAAUCCAAAAACUAGACAUAGAAUUCAUUUGUUGGUCUUUAGUAACCAUUAUUCAGAAGAAUAUUACUCCAAAUGUAAUCUCAAUCUAAAAUGAAAAAGAAUCCUAACCUUAAGCGGUUCAAAGGGAUACUGCCUCCUUACGGCAUCAAAUUCUUUCUCGCAAUUUUGGUUCAAAUAGUUGAACAUUGUAACAAACAACUUGUCAACAACAUCCAUAACCUGCAACAAAAACCAUUAGCUGUGCAGUAAAUCACAACAGUCACUACAUUAGACUUCUGAUCAUAAAGAACAAAAUAAAGAACAGGCUACUAUAUAUUACCUCGAAGUAGCUCCACUUAAUCUCCAUCUCGACAUCAAGACCAGUGAACUCACAUAGAUGCCUGUGUGUGUAGGAGUCCUCAGCUCUGAAAACAGGUCCGAUCUCAAAAAUACGUCCAAAGUCACCACAAAUGGACAUCUGCUUGUGGAGCUGAGGUGACUGGGCAAGGCAGGCAGGUUGCCCCUUGUAGUCCAGCUUGAACACCGAAGCCCCACCUUCACUUGAACCAGCAAUCAGUUUGGGUGAGUGGAUUUCAAAAAACCCUUGGGACAGCAGGAACUCCCUGAAGAUCUGCAUUACCACCCAACCAAUUAAAAACACUGAUAUUCAACAACUUUCAUCGAAGUAAACACAACACCAAUUAACCAUAUAUGCAUAAGGUGCAAAACUUACAGUUCCAACUCGACUCUGGAUUCUGAAGAUCCCUUGGUUAGCUGGUGUGCGCAAGUCGAGUACUCGGUAGUUCAGUCGAGUGUCCUGGUUCACACGAACCAUUUGUUCUCCAGCCUGAACCAACCAAAUAAUCCAACAAUUAGUUAAAUACAUACACAAACACAACCAGAAAUUCGAUAAAGUUUCACCAUCUCAAAUUAUGAAAGCUCCUGACUCUCGUCUCGCUAAUACAGUAGUUAAUGUACCUGAUUAGCUCUUUCAAUCUCGGCAUCACUUCGAGCAGCAUCCUCAACAUUAAUAGGCAAAACAGCCGCCCUACUAAUACAGUACACCUUUCUGACUUGCACCUCCACCUUCAACAAUUAAAACCAAAAUUCAAUAUCAACCAUAACCCGAAAAGUAAUCAUCCAAUUAUAAUCCAGAAUCAAAUUCAACACAAAAAUCAUAAAAUCCACAGAAAUCAAAUACCUGCUGUGAAGCGCUUAUAAUCGGCGUUCCAGGAACAGACACAAUCCCUUCAAUGUCAAUAAUCGACUCGCGGCUCAGCCCCGCCACGUAUUUCACCAUCUGACGGCUCACAAUCUCCGGCUGGACCGUCGCGACGCACUGAACCGUGAACCCCUUCUCUCUCACCACAAUGAACGCCAUGUUCUUCCCGACGGCUCGGAUCGUCUGCGCGCGCCCGCGUAUCUGAACCUGCUUGUCCUUCAACGCCUCCGUCAGAGCUCCGACCUCAGUCCAGUCCUUGACGUCGGCGAUCCUCAUCGAUUGGAGCUGAAUCAGCGGCAAGUCGCCGUAGUUCUCGGCGAGCGGGUCCUCCGAGUCAGCGGACUGCGCGCGGGCGGCGGCGGCGGCCGAUUCUUGCUCCUGGCGGCGGCGGAGCUUCUCUUGCUUGGCGGCUUCUUUCUUUGCCGCCUUUUUGCUCACUGAGGCGGCGUCUCCGUUCGUUCCGUUCUCGCCGUUCUCAGGCUCGUGGCUGAGCUCGGAGGCUGGCUGAGGUUCUGACAUUUUGGGAAUCUAGGGUUUAGGAUCGGAGAAUGAGUAAAGCUGAAUACGGAGGAGUUGGUUUUCUGAGAGCGGUUUUGGAGUAGACUACACUUGUCGAAGAAGAUAUAUAGGGCUCUCGUUCCGGUCAAUCGGGUCAGAUUUUUCUUGUUUGGGCGGGUUCGGGCGGCCCACUGUAUUUAGAACUUUCCUGUUUUUCGGAACAAGGAAUUUUGAGUUUUUCUUCCUUGUGUAAAAAGGAUAAGGUGACCUUAUGACCACAGAAAUAAUGAAUUGGAAAAAAUCAGAAUUUUCAUUGAUUCCAUUGGUCCGAUUUAGUGUUAGGAGUUACUUGAUGCUCAAUCCAAAUUGCGUGGUGAUCAAGUUACCAAGUGAGUCAUAAGAAAAGACUACUGGCAUCAUUAAGAAUUACAAAUUAGGUGUGGAUAUAAUACGACUAUAGAUUAUUCUGAAAUAAUUGUAAUAAUCAAAGGACAUAAUAGUAAUAAAAAUAAUAAUUCUGAUUUACUUCCCCUUAGAAUCUCUCCACAACUUCCCACUCCUGCAGCAGAGAAGGAGAAAAGGAAAACUUCCAACUCCCCGCGUUUCGCUUUCUAGUUUUGAAAUUAGAGCUGAAAAAAAAUGGAUUAUAGCUGACUUGGUCCGAUUAUUGUUGUAACAGAAUAAAAUUGUUCGGAGUCAAACAACAGCACAAAAUGAAAAUCGUUUUUAUCGCACACCAUAAUUUUGACCGAACGAAUUAGAUCUCUUAACUAAUUUUUUUUUCUUUUUCUUUUUCUUUUUCUUACAUUUUCUGCAUAUACGAUCCUGCAUAGGUUUACUGCUAAUAACCAGGUGGUAAGUGGAGCAACUGCAUCACAAAAUUAACCAAAGAAAAAAACGAAGGUGUAAGAUGGAUGUAUAAAAGAUGAAUGAAGCUAAGCCUCUUUCUCACUGGUAAACAAAUCGAGGGAAAAAAACUCAAAAAGAUCAUAAUUACAUUAUCUGCUCAUCUACCAGCACCAUUUUCUAAUCAUUCAGAUGAUACGUAUGUUACGGUUAAUAACCAAAACCAUGGCCUGCAAAAUCUUCCUCAUCGCCACUGCUAAAGGAUUCCACCAGUUCAUCACUAUCGUCGUCCUCUUCGUCGCCGUCUGUCAAAAUCUCAAGCAUUCCACCUCCUCCGUCAAAGUCCCCAUCCAUAAUGUAAUCUCCCUCAUCGUCGUCAUCUAGGUCGCUCCCACUAUCAUCAUCAUCGUCAUUACUCAUGUCACUAUCAUCAUCCCCGUCGAGAUCAGGACCCAGUAAAGUGUCCAUGUCCGCAUCGUCAUCAUCUUCCUCAUCGUCAUCAUCAUCUUCACUCUCGGCAUCAUCAGGAUCAGAAUCAUCAUCUGUCGGCUUUCGGCGACCAAUUUCAUAAACCCUAGCAGAUGCAAACAUCUCAUCUUGGUCAUCCAUUGUGAUCAGCCCAAGGAAAGAAUCAGUUGGCUCAGUUGCAAAAUCGAGUACACAACGAUCAACCGGAAUAGUGGCAAUGUCUGAGUAGUUAACUGCGUCCACUGUGCGGAAAGCAGCAAACAGAGGAUGCUUUACACGACGGGUAUGCACCGCAGACAUCACAUCAUCAAGAUUUCUUCGGAGAAUUGCAUAAAUUACAUCACCACGGGCAUUAAAAGUUAUUGUAGUUUGGUCUAACGAAGGUACACUUCGGAGGAGUCUAAAGUUCCGGAGAUCCCACACCUCAGAGUUUAUAAUCACCUGUAAAACAAAAAUGUAUCAGAGUUCAGAAACAAAACAACCAAGAAAAAAUGGUAAAAAUUUAGCUCAUGAAAUUAGAAACCUGACUGCAAAUAAGAAGACACAAAAGAAUCCAGAAAAAUGUUUGCUACAACAAAAUCUCAUUUACACAGCUUAUAAGGUAGUUGAAGGGGCCUACGUACCUCGUUCCCAGUAGGAUGGAAGCCCCCACCCCCAUAAUCUGUAAACUGAUCAAACCGAUGAACAGGGCUGGAAACCCGCCUGUCCCACAGGACACCAUUCCACAGCAGCAUUGUGUCUAAAGGGUUAAAGUGUAUAUGAGAAUAUGAAUGUCCGCGGCCUGUGCUAGCAGCUGUAUCUGACAGUUUUGAUUCCAACUGGUUAGUUUGGAUAUCAUAUAUAAGAAUUUCUUUUUGGGCCGGCUCUGACGAUAGGGCUGCAAAAACAUCCCCAAAAUUGCCAAAUCUUGCAGCCUUGCACCCUUCAUAUGAAUGCAUUGGUCCAGUAGCGACUGUCGAUGCAUCCCACAACCUCACGUCUUCUGAACUAGAAGAGAGCACCAAUUCAGUUUCACCUGAAAGAUACGUCUGAACAAGUGUCACCGGAGACUGGUGGCUUGGACAACUCUCCAAUACGUUGCUGCUAUUAGAAUCAAAGAUUUUGAGUUCUCCACCAUGACUGCCUACUGCGAUACGAGCAGUGUCACUAAGAAAAGAGAUGCAUGUCAAAGGGUUACCAGUAUCAUCUCUACAAGUCCGCCAUGGCCGGAACCUACUAUAAACAAACUGACGAUCCCUGCGAUUUCCAUGAACCCCGCCAUACAUACUUCUGAACUCACGAGUGCCAAGCCGGGCAGUGACAUUUGCAGGGGCAUCAAGGGUUCGUCUAGGUUCGGGACAAACAUGUGGCUGUAACAGGGACAGUGGUGGAAGAGUGGUUAUAGGGGCAGGACACUGGCGAUGCUGGUGCUUCAGAUACUGAACAACCAAAGAGUCAAGAGUCAACCUUUCUGAGUUGCUUGGUUGAGGAUCGCUCUGAAGCCCAAGUUGGGUGGAUGGCGUUGCAAGACCUAUACUAGAAUUACCAUACUGGUUAUCAUCCAAACACUCUGAUGAAAAACAAGCAGGUGUGGAUCGACCAUGUUGAUCUCUCAUGUUGAAAGUAGGGGUAGAGAACCCAGCCAGAUCAGUUAGUAGACCACUUUUCCGCACAAUAUUGGGUGUGGGAAAAAUUGGAGACCGAUAUCCCUGAUCCCCCGUAUGGAUGCGUUUCCCAGAUGAUGGCAAAUUUAACUCGGGUAAUUUUCUUUUCAUUGGCAACAGGAUGGGUGUCUUACAUUGGUAAUCUGUAUCCAUAUUAGGCUUGGGCAGUAUUUCCGAUGGAGCUUCUGAUGUAUUUGCAGGUGCAGAUAACUCUUUAGAUGUACUGAAGACAUUUGUAGCCAACGUUGGGUGAGAGUCAUGGGGCUGGGAUUGAUUCUUUGACUGAAGACACAAAUUUGGAGAGAAAACCAAAGGUCUUUUCUUAGAGUAUGAGAUAGAAGAAUCACAUUUCAAGCUUGAAUCCUCCUCCCUUGCUAUCUUUGAUUUAUUGGUAAGAAAACCAAUAGGGGCACGACCAGAGGGCCACUGAAGUUGCAAAGAUGACGCUUCUUGUGUAGCUUGAUGAACAAGAGAUGACGGGGCAGCCAAGGAUGGCAAAGGCACCAACUGGGCCUCUUUUAGCAGUGAAGCGGCUGUUGUAGCCAAACCAGAUGCCUGUAGGUGUUCAUGUAUUAGAAGCAAAAGUUCCCUGAAAUUCCAACCGUUGGGGAAAGGAACAAACCAAAAGCCAUUAAUUAAAUGAAUUAGAUAAUCAAUUGUCAAAAUAGAAAUGAUGUAGAGUUCAACUAUUCUAGAGCAUUAUAACACUAUAACAGAAAUUGCCAAAUACCUGGAAUGGUAAGUGAUAGGAGUGGCAGCUGCUAUCGCUGCCCGUUCUAUGCGCCUCAAAGUUGGCAUUGCGGCAUCAGUGGCAGCCAAUGUGCUAGCACGUCCAGAAUUGGUCACAAUCUACUCAAAAGAAGAAAAAGUUAUAUAUAAUCAUGUUUCAUACAUUUAGACUUGAAACUAAAAGUAGAAGAGAGGAAGGUGGAGGAAAAGUGAACUAAAAGCAACCAGAGAUAAAGUAAUUAUAAUCCAAGACCCCAUACCCUUCCUAUAAGUGAUUUUCAGAGAUAAAAUAACGUGUAUGCAAUGAGUAUUUGAACCACUGACAGCACAACAGAAAUGCUUACCGCCAUCAACUCGAUUGCUGCCUGCGAAAGUUCAGAUUGCCACCUGCCUUGCUCAGCUCCUUGUGUUUGGCUCCCAGAAUCUCGGAUUAGUUCUGAUAGUUUCUUUCCAACCUAGAGCAUCAUGUUGCAGUUAGUAGUAUGAAAAAAAACCAAAAAUUGGUAAUAAAUAAAUAAGUAAUUGUAAAGAAACAAAAGGCUCAAUGCCAAAAACUCAUAGAUAGCACAAAGAAUUUCAAUAACGGCAGUGAACUGUUUGAAACCUUAACCAGAAACGAGAAUCAACCCGUGACAUGAUACAUUGAGGCAUAGUAAAAGGGAUAAGCAUGUUGUUUUUUUUUUUGGCUGUAUUGUUUUAUACUCGAGUAUUCAAACUGGAGGACUCCCAGCCACCAACUAGUUCAAUUGGAUGGCAAUCAUUUCAAAUAUUUAAAUCUUAUCUUUUCAGGUUAAGCUAGAGUCCACAUCCAAAAGAAGAAUUUACAGCCCAAGAAGUCAAUUCGACGUUGGUUGGCUACAUCGGCCCUACAUGAAAGUUAUUUACCUGAAGCUUUGUCAAUAUGUGUGCAAUUGUAUCAUCUCUCGCUAAACCAAGAAGGACUCUGCAAGCAAGGGCACGUAAACAGUCGAGUGCGGCAGGAGGAGAAUAUAUGCGUGGUUGGAGAAGAUGCAGCAGAACCUUUAUACCAUUGGUGGAACGAACAGCCUCUCUUGCUUGCCGAUACCCUUGCUCCAGUUGUGCUGCAAGCCCGGCACAACCCGCCCCAACUCCUAAAGAUAUCCUGCGAUCCCCAACCAAUGCUGAGGAUUGUGCAUUGCUACUGUUCAACUGUGUACCAGUAGCCUGUGCUGCAAGAGCUGAUUCCCCAGCUCGAUCUGAGAUGUUACGCUCAGUACUUUUCUCUAUAGCAAGAGCAUUUGAGGUUGGAGCAGAAACAGACUGCUGACUUUGUGCAUGUAAAGGUGGUUUGUUGCUGAUUGAAGGUGGAGGACAGACAAGAUUGACCAACACAUUUAGAGCUGGCUGAAUAAUCUGAAAAGAACAUGAAGAUAACUUAAAACUGCAAAACUAGAAAAACUGCAAUCAAAUUAAGAAAUACGAUCAUAUAGAAUGCCUCUACCUCGGGGUCCACAUAACUACCAUUAACACUUGCUGCAUCCAAAAUAACUGCUAUACCAACACGAUUGUUGCUUAAUGUCGAAUUCACAAUCAUCUUGCGACUACUAGGUACCAAUGUAACAAUGUGCAGAACACCCAAUGCAUAUUGAAGUAAAUCAUGUAGAUAGCGCUCAACAGGUGGAGCCUGCAGAAAACCAAAAAAAAAAAACAGUGAACUAUAAACUUAGAACAUAAGUAUUAAAAAAGAUAAAUAGAACAUAUGGGAAGUUCGAGCGGCAAGGGUGGGAAACUUCAGUAUAUAUUCUUUUUUUGAAACUUUAAAGGAGAGAAAAGCAGAAACCAGUAUACCUGGCAUAACUCCAACAUAGUAAUAUGUCCAUUAUAUCCCAAAAACCUAUCAACUGCAGGCCAACGAGUUCUUACAAAUGCAGGACCAAGCUUCCGGUCCUUCUGUAACUGCAGAAAUACUGCAUCAAUAGCUUCAUUGCUAAGGUCAAGUGGCUUGUAAGCUGCCCUUACACUGGGAAGAUUUCGGGCUGCACUUCGACUGUUUUUAUUUGGACGAAGAGAAUCCACAAGCAAAAUAAAAUGAGCUCUAAAGUACUGACGCAAAGCAACACAGGUGUGAUAAGCAAUCUGUUUCUCUGAUGAGGUCAGUACUUCUGUCGGUGACCUAUCAUUUCGAAGUGAGCCUGAGGUAGAGAGUGUCCCAGAAUUUACUCCAGAUCUUACUGAUGCUGCAUCAUUUAAAAGGCACAGUACUUUCUUUAAGCCAUCCUGAGCAUCAAAAGCGUCAAGAACUGCCCUGAAAACAAAUGCAGCAGAAAAAAAUAAGGCUGCAUUUUUCCUAGCUUGAUCCUGUGAGCACUCUAGAAGAUGGAGAGCCAACUCAACCACCUGGUAAACCAGGUCUGAGGGAAGAGCACAUACACGCUCCAUUAUACCCUUCAAAAAAAUAAAAAUAAAAACAAGAAAAAAAAACAGUUAAUAACAGCAAUGCAAAAAUAUGUGAUUAUAAAACAUCUGAAAAGAAAAGAUCAGAUCACAUGUCGUACCUGCAGCGAACCAAUUGUAAACAAGCAAGAAGAAAGGCCAAAGUAGGUUUGAGGAACUCUAGGGACAGCGAGUAGUUUCUGCAUGCCACCCCUAUCCACGAACAAUGCAGCAAAUUUCCGGUGAGCAGCCAAAGCACAUAUGAGCUUCAUUACAUCAGGCAAAAGCAUUGCGACCUUUGACGGUUCUUUAUGUCUUGAAUUUCGUUGCAACAAGGCAAGACACACGUCUACUCCCUUCUCAUGCAAUACAGGUCCAAGAACUUCAACAUAUUCUCCAAGAGUCUCGAGACAUUGAAUACAGUAUUUUUCUCUCAACUGUGCAAGGGAUUCAACACUUGGAAUAAAGAAUUCUUCAACAUCUUCAUGUUUUUGAGGUUCAGCGCUUGAAGUUAUUGGUUCAGCACUAGCAGAGGUAUUUACCGCAUUCGCACUAAUCAGCGAAAACAAGUUAAUAUGUUACAUCCAACUCAUCUAUUAUCUGUAUAGUAGUAUAACACAGCCUUUUCUAACACCAAAUUAAGUGCAUCAAGAACAAUAUACUACCUUAGAGCUUCAAUUGAAUUGGCAGCAUCAAUUACGGUAGAUGCUGCUCUUGAAGCAGCCAAAACUGCAGCUUCUUCGUUAUUUGUUGUAGUGAAUUCCUGAGUAGUCAAGUGGCAAAGAACUGAGGUGAAAAAGAAAAAAAUAAGAAAAAAAGUAAGUAGUGUGUGUGUGUGUGUGUGGGU